This 57368-nucleotide long non-coding RNA is filed under the name Triticum aestivum (bread wheat). Its description in RNAcentral is "long non-coding RNA (TAES_LNC024740)". The stretch from base 51984 to 52097 matches the Rfam family "MIR1120/MIR1122 microRNA precursor family". The record is from RNAcentral. Lineage: Eukaryota; Viridiplantae; Streptophyta; Magnoliopsida; Poales; Poaceae.
UUUUUUUUUUUUUUUGAUUCAGAGGAAAAUGCAUUUCAUUUUUCCAGGUCGAAGAGGACGGUUUUGGUGGCCACGAACAGUUCGGUGGCUCUCGCCGAACUCCCGUAUCUCCUGUUGUCUCGGCCACAUUUCGUUUAUCUCGUCACUUUACGGGUGUACGUAAAUGCAAAUUUUUGUGACCUUACAUCGUCAAUGAUUGGCGAAGUAUCUAGUAAGACUUGGCAGGUUUUGGCAUGAGAAAAGAACGAAAGAUCACUUUCACUGGAUGCUCAUUCUGGAUUGUUCAAGCAAUGGUGGCGACGUGGUGUACGCGCGCCAAUUGUUCCACUAAAAAUGGGCAGAAAUUCGAAAAUGUUCAAAAACAGAUCAGGUUCAUAGUAGAAGCUCAAUGAUCACCUUGAGGUUGUAGGAAACGUCGAAGUGGAGGCAGAGCCCGAAGUGCAGGAAAUGGGCGGGGGAUCCGACGCCGGGCAGCCGCGGCAGCGGGUCGCCGGCGUAGGUGAACCGGAAGUGCCGCUUCUUGGGCCUGUCCAGGUUCCGCUCCGCGAACAUGGCGAGCAUGGCGUCGCCCACCUGCGGCUGCCCGAACGUGUACACCCCGGCCAGCCGGUCCAUCACCGCCUUCUCCCGGUGGUACGCCAUGACCGUCGCGAACAGCACGGCCAGCGCGCCGCCGCUCCCGUGCCCGGUCACCAGCAGCCUCGCCUUCGGGCUCGCCUCCAGGAGCCCCUUGACGGCGUCGCGGAUGGUGUAGUACGCGUACACCUUCUGGGGCUUGCCCUUGAUGUGCUCCACCCACUUGGGCCACCCCAUGUUGCGCUGCGCGCCCAGCGCGUGCGUGUAGGCGGCGUGCGCGCGCCCGAGCCGCGGCACCUUGUACCACGACGGGUCCAGGUCGGCGCGCCACCGCGCCGCGUCGAACGCCGGCGUCCCCCGGAACGCCACCACUACCAGCUCCGCGUCCGGCCCCGCCUUGUCGCAGAACACGAACGCCUGCGCCGUGUACGCGCCCUCGAACUCUGGAGCAGUCGACACGCAUCAGUUCAGAUACACACACGCAGGUGUGUCCGUUGUGCACACAGAAGAGUUGAUUACCGUUCCAGCAGUUGUAGAACUUGACGAACUCCAUCUGCCAGCGGCGGGUGACCACGUCGCGAAUGAAAGCCUCGUUCUCGUACGCCACCUUGGAUGCCAUGACGCACAGCGCGGCGUGGUGCCGGCUGUCCGCCGGCGCGAUGCUCCUGUCAAGAUCGACUCGCCGGUCGAUGAGCCCCGUCAGCGACCGGUAUGACGCCGACGAUCUGUCCGGAUACUCCAUCUUCCCUGCAACCAACCAAUCAACCACGGUAGAGUUCAUUUCAGUUUGCAUUGCAGCCAAGACGGGCGCCAAACGCAAACAGUACGCGCGUGCACGCGCUCAUGAGCUGACCGUGGAGGACGUUGUCGACGAAGUUGAGCGCGAGCUCGACGGCGGCGCCGAUGGCGGCCACGGGGCCGGCGAGCGAGAGGAGGAGGAUCUGCAGGAGGAGGUUGAGGAAGAGGGCGAGCCGGCGGGGGAAGCUGCGGAUCUCGGUGCUGGUGAAGCAGUCGACGGCCUUGUUCCGGCCGACCUUGGGCGAGAAGAGGAGGUGCAGGAGGUCGAACGGGCUGGCCCUGUCCGGGCGCAGCACCAUGUAGUCAUUGCUGAAGCAGUAGUCGAGCUUGCUCAUGCUGCCCGGGCACCAAUCGACUGUGCUGCAGGGUCGUGUAUGUUAUGGUUCUUUGGGCACUACAGGGAAAAGAUCAAUUGCGAAGAUGUUUUUUUUUCUAAGCCGAGUUUCCCCACCGUUUUUUCACUGGCUUUUGCUGCGUCUCAAGAUUUCUCUUGUAUGUUUGCUGAGGAUAUCUGACUAUUUGUGGUUAACUUUGGAUUGAAAUUUUCUGGCUUGUGGCAAGAUACUGUGACUUAUAUAUUCUGGCUGUGGCUGCCUAAAGCCUAUCUGUUACAUACCUGUCAUAACUCAUAAGAGGCGGCAUGGAAAUUAUAUGGAACGAUACGGGGAAUAUCGAAUUUUAGAUUCUUAAAAUUUUCAUGUGGUUUUCAGAGCAGAUGGGUCCCUGUCAUUCAUGAAUUGCGUAUUUUGGAUUCAUCUUUCAUUUGUCCGAAAUAGCGAAAUCCUGAAUUGAUAGUGCACACUAGAGACUUCCGUGAUUGAGAGAAAUAUAGGGCGCGUUUGGUGGUUUGUAUCAACUCCAACGGAAUGGAUGUAACUUUUUCCGAUUUUAGGCUAUUUGGGUGUGUGUAAAUACUAUUCGGCAUAUAUGACCCAAUGCUUUGAUCCUUUUUCAGAGCCAGACCCGGGCGAUACAACUCUAGGGCACUUUUGGCUCUAGUGGUAAUGGGGGAGUGUGUUUGCAUGUGCGUUGUUCCACUCAUCCCCGAAUCCACUUCACAUGAUCCCUUCUAAUUUACAUAAUGAUGCUUCGAUUCGAAAUAAGCUCUAUACAAAAAAGAUGCACAUCGAUAUUGUGGUUCCAUUCAAACAAUCGGUUCCUAAUUUUAUGAAUUGUAAAUCUUCAAUUCAUGCAAAUUUUUGGAGGUUCUUCGGAUGAAUGUUGGCAAAAUCUUAGGACCCGGUCAAUCGUUUGAAAUUUCCUUUGACCAUUAGCUUCAUCUCGUCGUUUCACAUGAGUUUCGUGUUGUACGUUUUCGGUUUCACCGGUGUAGACGAGUAUAUCUAUGUCUCCCUGUUGACUGUACAAACGUGUCACACCGGUGUUAGUCGCCUGAAAAAGAUUCCCGCCCAGGCAAUUUCGUGACCAUUGGAUGAGCAUCUGAGGGCUUCCACACCUUCUUCUACGUUAAGCAGGCCCGUUGAAUGAGCAUCCGAGGGCUGCCACACCUUCUUCUAUCUCAAGCCGGCCCUUCCCUUCUUCCGUUAGCACCCGUUUUCACGUGAGGUAAGUUCACCACAUAGCCAAACAACAACAUGUUGCAUCUGGGGAGAAAAUGCUUGUACUAAAUAACCAUGUGUGUGGUUUUCUCAGCCAGGCCGAGGAGGAUGCAAGCUACCAAACUAUAUGCAUAACAUGAUUUUUACCCCUUACUAACGUAGGCAGGCCCAACUCGGACAUACUCCCAAAAAACGCAAACACCGUGCAAGCUACCAAACAGGCCAGUAGAGAUCAAUCAAUAGUGACAAGUAAACGGAAAAAUGAGUCGGUGUUUUAGCGCGUGGGGGUGAUGGUGGUGGGGAGGUGUGUAAUUUUCCUUAGCUGAUCAAACAAUCACAACUUACUGACAUGAUUGACUUAAUUAAAUUUGAUGAUUGAAUGAUGCUACACCCAUAGGAGUUGUUGGGUUAAGAGAAAAGGUGAUGUAGCACAGAAGCAAAAGUAUUUUCUCUCAGUUAAGAACCAAGGUUUAAUCUAACCAGUAGGAGCCUACAAGAUAACAAGAUAAGCAACACCUGUACACAAACAAAAUAAAUACUUGCACCCAAAUUGGCAAGGGGAUUGUCAAGCCCUUCCUCUUGCUAGUUACAAGGUUACAAACAAAUAAAUGGAUAGAUAAUGGUAUAGUGAAACGGCAAAAUAUUAACGGCAAAUAAAGAGGAAACUUUGUAGAAGAAAGUAUUGAUGAAAAAUAGACCCUCACUAGUGGCAUCUCUGUCGAAAGAAGGCAUGGUAUGGUAGAAAAAUUACUAUUGAGAAAUUGACAGAAAAGAAGCAUUUAUAAUUAUGAUCAUUCAUGGGAUAAUCUUGCAUAGGCAUUACGUUCGCGAUAAGUAGAUCGUUAUCGAACUGCAUCUUCUACUAUUACUCCACCCCGAAACUGCUAUCCAACAUGCAUCUCCAAGUAUUAAGUUUACUAGGAACGGAGCAACGCAAUAAGCAAGAUGACAUAAUGUAGACAGAAAGAAAUCUAGCGAUAAGAUAAAUCCCCAUCAUUUUAUCCUUAGUAUCAACGAUACAAAUACGUGUCUUGUACCCACUCUCACCGGGAUAUAGAACACCAUAAGAUUGAACCCACUAGUAUGCACCACUCCCUCUGAAGAACUACCCAUCAAUCUUGGCUAGAGAAGACGAAUAGAGUAGAAAGCAUACAUGGCUACUCAAUUAUCUAGCAAAGAAACUUCAAAAGAUUCAAUAAUAUUCAAUGAACAAUCUGAUCAUAAAUCUGCAAUUCAUCGGAUCCCAACAAACACACCACAAGAAUUACAUCGGAUUGAUCUUGAUCCUACGAAGAAGAUGAUGAACAUGGUAUUGAAGAUCCAAAAGAGAGAGAGGACCAUCUAGCUACUACUAUGGGCCCGUAGGUCCUAAAGGAACUACUCCAUCUAGCUACUACUAUGGACCGCCAGCAAGGUUGAUCAAGAGGCCUUUUCCAAUGGCUUCCCUCUCCGACGGAGCUCCGGAACGGGGCUCUAGAUGGGAUCUCUUCGGAACAGGGCUUGCGGCGGCGAUAAAAUUCUUCUGGAGGUACGAUGAAUGUUUUUUCUAUUUAUAGGAAUUUAUGGUAGUGGAAUAGGUCAAGGCGGUUUCCGUGGGCCCCACAAGCCCAGGUAGCGUGGCUAUCCCCUGGUAGCGCCACCUGCCCUUGUGGCUGGAUGGUGGGUCCUCUCGAUGACUCCAGAAGCUUCAUGUGUUUCUUGUUGCCCACAAAAAACUGUGUUAAAUCGGCAACAUAUUUUGACCUCCGUAGAUAUUUAUUUUCUUUGAAACCAAAAACAAGUAGAAAACAAUGCACCAAAUUAAUGGGUUAGUUCAUAAAAAUAUAUAAAAUAAUAAUAAAAGUAUAUAAAAAAGAUAAUAUAGCACAACAAUAAAAACUUAUAGAUGCGCUUGAGACGUAUCAAAGGACACUAACAAGAGUUCUGGUAGUCGAAAUGAGAACUUAUUGUAAAAAUCUAGCUUUGGUCUGUCAAUUCUAAUACACAUUUUUGGCCAUUCUGGUGUGAGAACUGUCCAACUUUGGUCGUCUUCAAAAUUGAAAUUGGUUUUAACAAUUAUGCAGAGUUAGCUUUGCACACGUCUCAUCCCAUUUAGCACAAAGACGGAAUUAAAGUUCUUUUUUAAAAUAAAAAUCAACUGAUCUGAAGACACAUAAAGAAGUUAGGUAUGGUAAUCUUUUGUAUAGGAAACUAAAUAUACAGGAAUAUGUAGGUUAUUAAAAUGAACAUUUGGAAGAAAAAAAUGGAAAAAGGGAGAACCCUUGAGAUUGUUUUAAGAAAAUAAAAAAUGGAUAUUACAAAAAAAAUAGAAUAGAUAUUUUUUUUGAAAAAUUAGAACCUAAAUGAUCUCACCACUUAGGGCAUCUCCAACACCAUCCCCUAAAACACCCACAUAUGUCUGGACCCGACCUAUUCCCAGACUACUUUCCUUCCACUCCACCCCUGCUCCCCUUACUCUGCAUCUGCACGCUCCCCGUGCGCAGCCGUCGCUGUACCUCUCCGGCCACCGCAGAUGCAUUGUCGGACAUCCAUAGACCCACCCACGCGUCCGCCCCCUUGGACUAUGGUACCGUCCACUCCAGAUCCGUUUGCAGCCAGGUACCCUCUGCCCCUGCCAACGGCGUUCAUGGCAGACACCACGCUCGACAUGUGUUUGGUCAAAUGUCAUCGAGCUUUUUUUUUACCUUCUUAUUGUUUUCUAGCAUAAGCACGAUGGAGGAUGAGUUGUUGUGCGAUGCGGGGAAUGUCGUAUCUAUGGACUUGGUAGGCAUGAGGCAAGGGGGCUCGAUUUUUUCUCGAAACGUGCAUGCUUCGUUUCAUGGGCAAAAGCACUUCGUGUCCUACAACUUGCACGUGAUCCAUGAACACAAUGUGAAGUCGCUAGCCCAACUUCAUCAUGAAGUUUUGCGGUACGAUUGCACAAGUGGAGAGAAGGUGGCCACUGGGUUUGUCAGCCAUAGAGAUCGUAAGUUUUUCUUCUUGUUGCUCUACAUGUUCGUCAAUUCAUUGGUUCACUCAAUGUUGUAACUUGAUAAUCAUCAUGUUGUAUAGCCUGGAUGCGUUGUCGUGUUGUACCACAGAACCGAGAAUAGGCCAUUUACGUUCAUACAUUGUUGGACGAUGCUCAAGGGGCACAGUGCAUGGGAUGACAUGUGCGGAUUCUAACUCGAGUAUCGUCGAAUUCUGAAUCGAUGAAUUCAAAAAACUUGUUGAACAUCCAGUUAUGUUGGAUGUAAUAUUUUUAUUUGAACAAUGGUUGUGCUAGUGAUUUUUUAAGUGGUGCAAAAAAAAACAGAGACGAAGGUUUAGAGGACAGGGUUGGAUGGCCGGCUCCCGUAUGUGUGCCAGUGGAUGAGUUCGGACAAGUCUACGGAGAAAUAGUGUGUCUAAUUUAAGGGUCGGUGUUGGACAUGCACUUAUACAUCAAAGUGACCAAAACACAAACAAGACGCUGAGCUGACCACGGAAUGAUACUCUUUUUUACGCGAAUCUUAAGAGCUUUAUUGCAUGACUGGAAUUCGGUUACACUCAGCUAAAAGGCUGCUUACAAGGAAGGAAGGACAAACAUCCAUCCAACACUUAGAUACCAAUAAAGGAGGUAGGAUAUUUAGCACAAAGAUCGGCCACGCCAUUGGCAUCCCUUGUAGCAUAUUAAAUAGAGAAUGAAGCGAAACUUGAAGCUCUUUCCCUGAUUUCAUCGAAGAUAGGAAUAACAAUUGACCUGGUGUUGUGACGUGAAUUCCAGAGGUUCACCACCUCUAAGCAAUCGAUCUCCAUCACCACAUGUAGUAACCCCUCAGCUGGGCAAAAAUAACGCACUCUCACAAUGCUAGAGCUUCGACAAUGAAAGGAUCGGUGACACCGGGCAAGGGCUUACUCCAAGCACCCAAGGACACGUGUGAGUGUGCUACACCACCUCCGCCUCCCACUUGUGCCUGGGUGUCAAUUGCGCUAUCUGUGUUAACUUUUACCCACCCAGGAUCCGUGACCGCCAGCACUGCCCAACAGAAAUAUUCCGAUGAUCUUUUGGCAACUCAAGCAAUGCUAGAUCAUCCCUUGCCCUGUAUUGGGUUAUAUCCUUCUUCAACAUGAGUCCAACGAUUCCGUAAGGUCCAAAUAGCAUCAUGAUCGUAAUAUUCUUGCACCUAUAUGUAUUGGAGAACAUUGCAUCAACCACGAGAUCCCUUGACCAUGUAUCUGGAUGCAAUGGCGGAAGAAGCCCAAGACUUCUUCUGCUACCUACCAAAAGCUUCUAGCAUGGGAACAAUGAACUAGGACCUGCAUUAGAUCUUCAUCCAUCGCUUUGCACAGAUCUCAUAGUGAUGUUAUUUGAUUAUGACGGUAUUUCAUGGUAGUAUAAUUUGGAAGAAUACCCUAAAGCGCCACCAAAAUACCCGAACUCUUUGGAUCACCUUGAGUUUCUAGAGAGCAGCCCAUAACUGUUUGUCCAACGAUUAGGUUCCCGCUACCGUCCCUUUCUCUGUAGCACGCAGCACAAGAGCACGAUAGGCUGAUUUUAUAGUGUAUUCGCCCGAUUUCUCAAGAGCCUAGGCCAAGAAAUCUUGACCAUCUCUUGCCCAUAUUGGCAUAUUCAGUAUUGCCUCAGUAUGGUGCAUAAAGAAUUCGUACAUGCACAUGCAGUGCGGUACUGGCGUAGAAUAUAUAUGUAUUAAUAUCAAAGCAGAAGCUGUUGUACGUAGUACUACGUGCGAUACUGACGCGGAAUAUUCAAAUCGAAGCAGAGCUGUGUACGUAGUACUACUAGCAUGUACUACGAUCCUGGUACAUUUAUUUAAACAUCAGUACAGACACAAGCGCUCAUAUACACGCGCAUACACUCACCCCUAUGAACGCACACACACGUACAUCCUACCCCUAUGAGCACCUCCGAAAGACUGAGCGGGCAUAUCAUCUUGAGAUUUACGAAGUCACCGUAGGCGCCUCGUCGUCGACGGGAACAUGUCCUCACACUGAAUGUGCAUCGCCCAAAAUUUUGAAAUAAAUCCAGAAAUAAAUACGAGCAUCAGGCUCCUGAUACUUAAACGCUGAACUGUCAACUGUGGAAACUGAAUAUGGAUGUGUGAGUACUAGUACUAGCAUUUUAAAAAUAAAUAAAUAAAAAUACCAGUACUAGCGCCUGAGCACGAUCGGCAAAUCGUGAAAUCGCACCACGGGUACGUACCGACGCACGGCACGCAGAGGCUGAAGAAAAGAAAACUAUGCUCGUUCAGAAGCACCGGUGGAUGGAUUGGUAACGUAUAUGUGGCGUGCGUGUUCGAAAGCAACCGAACUCGGAUCGGAAGCGACGUAGGGCUGAGACGUACGUUAUCGUGGCAACGCAGGCCCGUGGUCGCUCCGUCACUCGCUCAGCUCACGUCGCUGCCUAUAGCCGUAUCCGGGCGCGCGUGUCGCCCCGCUCGCCCGCGCGGCGUCCGCCACUCGGUACCCGACGCUUCUCGAUCGUGCGCCGCGAGACUUUCUCGUCGCUCCCUGCAGCCAACACCACUUCCACCCGCGCGCAUUUGAUAGCUAGCCUGGCCCGGCCGGCGAUCUAUCCACCCAGUCACCUCGCGUCACCCGCCUAGCUAUCUAUCUACGCGCGCACCUAGACCCGAAGAAGCUGUCCAGCUAGUCACUGACUGUUAGUUGGAUCAUGGGGGCGCUGGCGGCGUCGAUCGCGUCUCACGUGCCGUCGGGGAUGCUGAGCGCGGGGCUGGCGGCGCUGGCGGCGCUGCCGAACCCCGGCGAGCUGGUGCGCAAGGCGGCGCGGCUGGAGGACGAGCUGAGGGAGCUGCUCCGGCUGAACGGCCGUGGCGCCGGGGCGGGGGCGGAGCAGGGGGCCGGCAACGGGGCGCAGCAGACGCGGGAGCGGUUCCUGCGCGCGUACGAGCGGCUCAAGGAUGAGCUCCUCAACGACCGCGCCUUCAACUUCGACUUCACCGAGGAGACCAGGCAGUGGGUCGCCAAGGUACGUACGUGCUACCUGCAUGCGCGCGCGCCUCUCCACAGUCCGAAUCAAUCUCGAGCUACGAAUAAUCGUUCCAUACGGAAGAAGUGUCCCUUGCGCCGGCUGGUCCGACUAACCAUGACAUGCAUGAUGCGUUGAAGCCCCGGAGAAGCUUCGCGCUCCAGGCUCAGGCGUCCAUUUGGGUGUUUGUAUUUUCCGUCGAACACCAUUAGCGUUUCGGAGUCGCCGCUUAGAGUUUAGUUCAUGAAAAUGCGGACGUGACCUGCAUGGCGUCCAUUUGGGUGUUUGUAUUUUCCGUCGAACGCCAUUAGAGUUUCGGAGUCGCCGCUUAGAGUUUAGCUCAUGAAAAUGUGGACGUGACGCGUGCAUGGCUGGACGCUAAAGCAUCCCCAACAGCCGCCCCAAAAGACGUGCGCGGUACGUUUUCGCGCACUUCAGCGGAGGCGGGAAAUUAGAGCGCGCGGGAAACGAUUGCGCGUGCGGGGAAAAAUGCGGCAGCUCGCGUUAGAUUUAGCGCACCGCGUCCGGCGCGUCUAUAAAAUUGAAGCGCCCUCUGCCGCUCUCUCGUCGCUUCCUCUACCGCUUUCUCACCUCGCCGCCGACACGCCACCAUGCCGCCUCGCCGCCGGGGAGCUUCGGGCUACCGCGGCGUCCGCGUGCGUCCGUCCGGCACAAACUCCGCCGAGAUUCGGCCGGGCGGCGUGCGCCUCGGCCUCGGAACCUUCGACACCGCCCAGGAUGGCGCCCGCGCAUACGACGCUGCGGCGUGGCGCCUCCGGCGGUCCCGUUGGGACAUGAACUUCACGGACGUGGCGAAGCGGGAGCGGGCACAGGAGUUGGCGCCUCCCCUGCGGCUUAUCACCGACGAGGAUCAUCGCAAGAACCGGAGACGGGAGCGCCGUCUCAGCCUGGCCGAGAUGGACAAGGAAGCCAUGGAUCUGUGGCGCCAACGCUUCCCGCAAGACAUCAUCAACGAUGAACAGUUCAUAGCCGAGAGGAGGACGGAGAGGAAGGAGAGGAGGGAGGAGCGAGCCGCCUAUCGCGAGGACAAGCGAACGCGGAAGGAGAUGCGUCGUCCUGGGACUCCAGCGACGAGCGGUUUCUUGACGCCUACGCUCAGACGUCGGAGGAGGACAUCACCGAGGCAGAGUCCGAGUCGAAGAAUGAUGAGUAGUAGUAGUUUUUCGUUUUUUUAUCUAUCAUAGGAGAAGACUAUGAACUAUCUAUGCACUAUUUUGUAUCAUAGAAGCAGGCCAUGUGACGAACUAUCUCACAUUUGUACUAUCGAAACCAAAUGUGUAUCAAAUCAUAGUUCACAUAAUAGGCGUCAAGAAAAAAAAAGAAAUAUAGCACGCCUGCUGGAGCGGCUCGGACUCGCUUUAUUUUGCGGCGGCUGCUGGAGCAAGGGCACCGCCGCGCGCAAAAAUUGGCUGACCCGACGCUGUAUACUGAUUUUUAACGCCUCGCGCGUUGGCGGCGGCCGCUGGAGAUGCUUAACUGGAGUUCCGGAUAACUGUUAGUACGCUUUAGUUACCAGCACAACCGGGCUCGUGUGGUUGUGAAGUGACGCCUCCCUGUAGUCACAGAUGUCCAUGUCGCUGCGGAAUAUCGGGGAUAAACUCACAGUCCGUAAGUCACUGGACGGCAUUUUUUUUCUGAGAAACAUCACUGGACGACGGCAAUUUUGUCGCACGUCUGACAGCCACGAAUGGCCCAAGAUAGCGAGACUGGUUUCGUACUGCAAAUGGCCCGCUGGCCGCCUGGCCCAACUUUUCGUCAGGCCAACUCCACCGCGUGACCCUAUUUUGUCCGUCCCCGUCCGUUUGGGAUAAAAGGGACAAACCGAGCGGUCCAGCGCGCGGGAGCAAACGGAUUUUUGUCUGUUUUGUGUCCGCUUUUGACCUAUCCUCGGCCCAAGUUUGCGCUGUUUUUGGGAUAAAACGGACACCACGCGGACGCGCCGGCCGUCUGCGCGUGUCCUCCCCUGGCCCGCCCGUCGGUGGCACAGGGCGGACCUUUUUCUAUCCGCCCCCUCCCUCCCUCCGGCCGCACCCCACUCCACUCUUCUCCACUCUUCCCCACUCUUUCCCUUGCCGCCGCCGCUGCCAUUGCAGCCAUGCAGCUCGGACGCGCGCUCGCCCAGCCCCUUCCCCUCGGCGCCGCCGAGCUACCCAACCACGGCCACCUGAUUUGCGCACCCGCUGGCCGGAUUUGGGGCGGAUACGGUCGGUCUUGAGCUCGCCCGGCUGUGGGAGGCUGGGCCGCGCCAUGGACUGGCCGGGCACCUCGCCGGAAGGCCCUGGCAGGGCCGCAAGACCACAUGCAGGCAGUGGCUCCUCCUCUAGCCGCUCGGAUCUGCACCGUCGGUGGUCCGCCGGCAGAUACACGAAUGGCGGCCGGCCGGGCUCGGUGCUUGCCCAAAAGCUCGUCGACGCACCGUUGCCACUCAUUAAGUGCGACCACUGCCCAAGGAUGGUCGUGCGCCACGUGUCUACAACGCCGGAACAUCCCGGAUGGGUGUUCAUCAAGUGCUUAAACGAUGGGGUAUGUGCUCUUUUUAGCUUCGGUUUGUGCUCUCGGAGUAGACUAGUUGUGCUAACUUCAAAUUUUAUUGUGUAGAAUGGAUGCAAGUUUUGGUAUUGGGAAGAAGAGUACAUCGAUAUAUUGAUAGAGCGAAAUUUAGUACAUGUUCGUGCACUUUUAGCUAGCAUAGAGGCUGUAGAUGAGACAAGUGCACUUGUUGCUAAGGCUAGACACGAGACUAGGUGUGAGGAAGCAACAUCGACUUCUGGCUUGAAGAAGAAAGUAGGGUGCAACAUCGAGCCUCCUCCACAGAUCAACAAUGAGUGCAUCGAGAAGGCCCUAACGCAACUCAAGGGAGCAGCUAUGGAAGUUGGGUAUCUUUUAAAAUGUAUUCUUGUGGUUGUUAUUUUCUUUGGUAUUGCUUUACUAGUCAAAAUGUGACGAUGUAUUGUCAUGUAACAAAAAUGAAUGAUAAAAAAAGUUAAGGACUUGCAAAGAAAAAUGCACGCGGACAGGAUGCGGCCGGGAUGCGUUCGCGCGCUGGACGCACGGCCACCGCAUCUCAGGACACGUCCGGACACGACCCCAAAUCCCUACCCAAACGGAUAGAAUCCGAACAAAACGGACGUCUGUUUGGUGUCGUGCGGUGGAGUUGGCCUCAGGGUUCCAGUUUCGUGUCUCGCCCGCUCUUUUCUGUGCACUGGAAGCGUCUGUUAGUACCGUUGCGUUGUUCUUUGCUUCCGACCUUUUCCUCACCUUCUGCUGUUGUUUCUAACCGUCGCUCCCGUUGGCACUAUAAUCGUUUAUUGGCGACUGCUCUUUCAGAUGCUGGACUACAACGUGCCUGGAGGUGAGCCGCCCUCCUUCUUCUGCAGUUUGCACCAUGAGCACCAACAAGACUCAGUUGAACCUAUGCAGCUAGCUCUGUCUGACACUCGCGGUUUAUAUCUGAACUGAAGGGAAGCUGAACCGGGGGCUGUCAGUGAUCGACAGCUACAUGCUGCUGCGGGAGGGCACCGAGGUGGACGAAGAGGACUUCUACCUCGCCUGCGUCCUCGGCUGGUGCAUCGAAUGGGUGAGCUAAUUUCUGUAUUGAGUGCUUCUCUGGGAGAAGACAUUACAAGUACAUUGACUUGUGUCUCUGAAUGUGCAGCUCCAGGCGUCUGCCCUGGUGAUGGAUGACAUCACGGACAACGCCUACACCAGGCGGGACAACCUCUGCUGGUACAAGCUGCCCACCGUGAGUACUCACUUCACCACCCAGUACAUCUCGUGGGAGACCAGAUAAGUUAAUAACACGUGUUGUCUGUCAGGUUGGCCUGUCUGCGAUAAACGACGGCGUGCUGCUGAAAUGCCACGUCCAGGCCAUCAUCAAGCGCUACUUCAAGGAGAAGUUCUACUUCAUGGAACUCAUGGAGCUCUGGAACGAGGUAUGCACGAUCCAAUGCGCGCCAUCAAAUCAGUUUCCAGAGUUAAUAUCUGUACGUACAUUUCCAUGGCAAUAACAGAGCUGUUUGCUGGAUGGUGUGCAUUGUUUGGACAGAUUGGGUUGCAGACCGCCAUGGGGCAGAUGCUGGACCUCAUCACCACCCACACCGGCGCCAAGGAUCUCGCCAGAUACAGGAUCCAAGGGUAUGCCGUUAGAGUCUUGUAGCUUAACAACAAGUUCUAUAUAGCUUAAAAAGUACUCCCUCCGUAAACUAAUAUAAUAGCGUUUAGAUCACUAUUUUAGUGAUCUAAACGCUAUUACAUUAGUUUACAGAGGUAGUACUUACCAGUAAUUACAUAUCGCCACCUUGUUUAUGACAGGUACCGCCGCAUUGUCAAGUACAAGACAUCCUACUAUUCCUUCUACCUGCCGGUGAGUCUCUGGCCCUGAAACUGCAGUACACAUCUCCUGCCUCUAGUUCAGACUUGAUCAGCCUGUACCGACUAUUUUGUAGUCAUUCAGAAUAGUUGCCUCGUAGAACUUCGUUGCAGCAUCCACGAGUUCUCUUGCACAGAACACUCUUCUUAACGCAAAAAUCGGUCCUAAAAUUGGUUACUUUCAUGCAUAUAGGUUGCCUGUGCAUUGCUCUUGAAUGGCGCGAAACUGAGCGACUACGUCGAGCUCAAAAAUGUACUGAUUGAGAUGGGAGUCUACUUUCAGAUACAGGUCCGGUGCCCUCCAUAAGUAAACGUUUCUUCUGUAAACUUCAUCUAGCAUGUAUGGCUGAAAUGCGCUGCAUUUUCAGGACGACUACCUCGAUUGCUUCGGCGACCCUCAAGUUAUUGGCAAGGUACAAAAGAUUCACACCCUCUGUCUUCCUUACUGUUUCUUGCUCGCUUCAGAGUUUCACUGUCUCACUGUGCUGCAGGUUGGAACAGACAUAGAAGACUACAAGUGCUCCUGGCUAAUUGUCCAGGCUAUGGAACUGGCUAAUGAGAAUGAGAUGAAAAUACUAUAUGUACGAAAUUAAGUCACUAAUUUGAGUUUUCAGAGACCCCCACUUCAGUGAAAAUGUUUAUUGACCUGCUAGGAGAAAGUACUAAAUUGCAAAUAUUUCCAUGAACCAUGUUAAUUUCUCAGGAAAACUAUGGCAAGUCUUGCCCGGAAUGUGUUGCAGCAGUGAAAAAUGUUUAUAAGGAGCUUGAUCUCCAGGUAUAACUCUUUCCAGCCAGAUUUCACAUUCUGCCUCGAGACUCUUCUAAUAUUGUCUUAACCUGAUUUUUACUGCUAUCCCUUUGUUCUUUUUCUUCUUUUGUUAAAAAAGAAACAGAGAACUGCCAAUCUGAUGAACUCUGAACUAUUUUGUUUAUCUCCUCCUGCACCCAGGACAUAUUCUUGGAGUACGAGUCAAGAGUUUACAAGCACCUAGUUUCAACCAUCGACGCCGAGCCAGACCGUGCGAUUCGGGAGAUUUUGAAGAUCUUUCUGAAGAAGAUUUAUAGGAGAAAGAAGUAGACGACCCUCUCUGCUGUUUUCACAACCGUGAUUACUACGGGAGGAACCUUAAAUACAUUCCACGGUUGGGGGUGUCAUGCGCUCCCUUGUACAACGUGUAUGAUAUGAACUGUAUGAACUCGAGAAGACACUGCCUUGAAAUAAAGACCAUAUAUGUGAAGACGACCUCUCCUCAUAGGACCUUGAGUGGCCCGCGUGGAUCAUGCUGCCAUCACUAGCAGGGGCCCGUACUAGCCCAUGUACAUCGUAUUAAGUACUACUACUCCCUCCGUCUAGAUGUGUAAGUCAUCUUACGAAAACCAAAUAAUUACAAAACACUUAGCCGCGGUGCAUUAACUUCCACCUCGUUUCUUGUUUCUUGACAUAUCAACCAAUAAGAGAUGUGGGUGUGCAUGUUUUUAAUGACUUGAGACUACCAAACACGACAUGCAGUGGUUAGUUCAUUGCAUGCAAUACUAUUAAUUAGCAAAUAAACAUUAAGUUCUCUCGUUUUCCCCUCCUCCUUGGUCACGGUGCACAACCUAAGAUGACUUACUCACCUAGACGAAGGGAGUAGUAUUUUUUUCCUGCAUGCGUGAUUAAUACAGUUUUUGGCAACAGCGACCAGUCAGGUAGCAAAGACCAGCGGUUGCCAUGUCCAGGGUGUCCACACUCAACCAAGUUGCCGCAGUUAGCUUGUUUGGUCACUAGUGACCCUCCAUCGAUCUAUGAUGUCAUCCAUGAAAACUGGAAGUGGUAUUCUUGUAUGCUAAUAUCUUCCACGACUUAGGUCUGAAGAUUUCUAUUGCAUUACAAACUUAUUUGAACACAUUAAUCUUUCCCUAAAAAUAGGGGGGAAUAGUUGGGCCGGGAGUGUCUCGCCCGUCUGGCAUGUUGAUGUUGAAAUGAUGAGACAACUGCACCUGAGCCUAAAAGUGGAAUUCAAAUACAAUCCAAAACUGAUGUCAUCUCGUUUCUUCUUCCCAUUAUAAUAGACACAUUGAUGCUUAUAGUGACACAUGGUAUUCAACAAAUUUGCGGUGAUGGUAUCUCAUUCAUUGUUCAAGAUGACACAAUAUAUAUUGGCCUAAAUUUGAAAUUCAGAUUUAAAAGAGAAUUCAGAUUUAAAAGAGAAACCAUUAUUUUAAUAGUGAAAAACAGUUGGGCUGCGGCCUGAAGGAAAAAUGAGGAGAUGUCACAAUGUAUAUAAAGGCAAAUAUGAUCCCCCUAUUCUCCAUAACAAAUAUGAUUCCCUUAACUAUGAAAGCCAUCCAUAGUACAUAACUCUUUUUCUUGGAACCCAAGAGCCUUUUUGUUGUCUCCUCUUUUCUCAAUCAACAGUCUAAAUUAUGCAAGCUCUCAAAACCUUUUGUUACUUGCAAAUAUUAGGAUAUUAACAAAGUGUGUUUAUAACUUUAUAUACAACAUGGGUUGGUUGACAUCGAAGCUCGCAUUUUCCUGGAUUUGUUUCAGGCCUUUUGGCGAUGUGUGCUCGGUGAGAGGAGACGUUCCCGUUGACUAUGAGGACGUCUGUGACGACUUCGUCAAUCUCAAGGUGAUGUGCCGGCUCAGUCUCUCGGAGGUGCUCAUAGGGGAAGGGUGUGUGCAUGUGUGUUCAUAGGGGUGAGCGUAUGUGCGUAUGCAUGAGCGUCUACGUCUGUAUUGUGUUAAAAAAGGAAUAAUACAUAUUCAUAACUUCAUGGCGUUAGUAGGGAAAUAAUGAGCCCCACUUUUCUGUUUUCUCUCUUCAUAAUGCUUUAAAACUUAUAAUUGUUCACAAUCUUGAAAAUAACAUAUUUCAAAGUUGCGUAAUGACCAUUUUUUGAAGUUUUGGUUUUGUUCACUUCCUUACAAACGAAGUUGUAAAUUAUCAAAAUUGCACAAUCUUAAGUUUGUGAGCACUGAGCACGUUGCUUACCAUUGAAAUAAAUUUAGAAAAGUGCAAGCAUCCAUGUCAAAUCUAGGACUUGAAUUAUGGUGGCCCCGUCCACAGGUUUUCUUCUUUUGCAUUUGUUUCUUUUGCAUUUGCAAUCAUAUUCUUUACAAAGUUAGGGGUUUGGGACUGCCAAAAAGGUACAGAGAAACAACAACAAAACUCACUCUGAAAGCCCACCCUGAAAGACAAAGACAAAAGCGUAAUGUGAAAUACUACACAGCAAACAACAAAAGCUGGGUUCACUUGUAUAUGUCCGAUCGAAGCAAGACACUGUCAAUCUAAGAUGCCAGUGUAUUUACAAAACAACAACAAAAAAUUGAACGCUAGACUGAUUUUUAAGAAAAAAACCAGUUGACUGAUGGCUAGGAAGAAUACACCUGUGAGUCGUCAUGGAUGCAUGUAGAUGUCACGAAGACCUCGGUCAACCACGGAGUCAUGAAUGCAGCCGAUGUCACGUUACCAUCUCCUCUUACGCAAGAUAAAACGAGAGCAAUGCUUGGCGCACUUCUGGAUUUACACGGUGAAUAACCUUGCCCGAUGUGGAGCAGGCCGUCUCUAAUUCUCUCUCCAAAGCGACGGGCCGACGCCAAACGCUUUGAACGACCACAGCGGCAGCCCGCUUCAGCCGCCGGGCCUCGGGGUCGGGACAGCGGUGACCGGCAUUACACCGGUGUCAACGAACCACGGGAGUCGGAGCGCGGCGGCGGCAUCCAGCCGCCUGAGGGGAUUGCACGUGAGGAGGCCCCGGAGGACCUCGAACCCUUCCUUGGAUAGCAGCGCCUUGGGGAACAGCUUGCGCAGCCGGUUCUUGGGCCCAGCAGCGGACCGUUGCCGCGCUCGCCAUAGCUGCACCUCCUCUCCGAGGACCGGCGAGUUGAAGGCGGGCCCCGACGCCCUCUCGCCUGGCACGCCGAGCACGUCGAAGAUCUUGUGGAGCUGGUCGGCUUUGUCGGCCCCCUUGAACAACGUCUUUCCGGUGAGGAGCUCCGCCAUCACGCAGCCGAUGGACCAGAGGUCGACGAGCGUGUCGCGGUCCGGCUUCUCGAGCAGCACUUCCGGCGCCAUGUAGUGCCUCGUUCCGGCCGUGCCGUCUUCCUGCUCGGUCGUGGAGAGCGCCAGCCCGUAGUCGCCGAUCUUGACGAUGUUGCCGCCGCCGCCGCCGUGCUGGGCGACAAGGAUGUUUUCCGGCUUGAUGUCGCGGUGCACGACGCCGUUCCUGUGCAUCGUCUCCGCGCCGGCUAGCAGCUGCCGCACGAUGCAGCGCACGUCAGCCUCUGGGAACGGCCGGUCACCGCGUUCGAUGCGCUCACGGAGGACCUGGUACAGGUUGCGCCCGACGUAUUCCAUCACGAGGAAGUAGUCCCUGCGUCCCUUGGUGCCGGGUGUGCGCACGACGCCACGCAGAGCAACGAGGGAGGGGUGGCCGCUGCAGGCCGCCAUGAAGCAGGCCUCCCGAAGGAGCUCGCCGACCGAUUCUUGGGUGGGCAAGCUGCGGAGAGUCUUCACAGCGACGGUCUGGCCGGUGGCGCGGUGGCGCGCCUUGACAACGACGCCGAACGUGCCCCCGCCGAGCGUGCACACCUGCUCGUAGCAGCGAGAGUUGCCCAUGCGCCGCUUCCUCGUGGUCCUCCUCCUCCUUCCCUGGGCGACCUCGUCGAUCAUGGCGGAGAUGGCGGCAACUCGCCUGGCGCUCAGAGUUGUACCAGCGGCUAAGGUGUCGAUCAAUUCGCAGAUGGAAGCGACUCGGGAGGCGACCGUCGUCAUGCCUCCGGAGGCUGUCUCGUCGUCCGCUAUGUGGCAAGUCGAACUUGUUCCAAUGGCGUCCGCCGCCUGGACGGCCUGGUGGCGGUUGCGAGCCCGCGGGGAGGGCGUGCACGGUGGUGUCCACUGUCCACGUCGUGCGUGGGAAUACUAUGGGAUGCAGGCAUUAUAUGGAGCAUGUUCGUGCCGAUUUCUAGCCGGGUUCGGUGUAGAGGUGUUCCUGUUUAGAAAGCCACCAUGCAACAGGGCAAUAGGCAUAUAUGAGUCGGAGUCGGUAUGCUAGGUAGUCUUGGACUCUUGGGUUUCCAGCAUGCAAAAGUCUCAGUCACCUUUGAAACCAUUGGAUCUGAGGCGCUAAGAUCCGUGCAAAAUUCCAGUUUUCUUAUGGUUUUCUUUUGGGUUCCAGUUUUCUUACUUUUGUUUUAGAAAUACUCCAGUUUUCUUAUAUUUUUUUUUGAAAAAAGAGCUCUCUCUCCGAUUUCAUUUAAGAGAAACCACAAUGUUCACAAACUCCACAUCCUAACUGCUACAGCAUACUGAUAAACUGACGGCGCUAUGGUAGAGGCAGGGAGCCAUCCCUCCCCCCUCCUGCCACAGCUCUUGUCAAGAUAGGCUACCCCCUGGUGGAAACAGCAGGUACUACCCAAUAUAUAUUGGAAACUAAACAUACCACUGGUACAUAAAUUCUUUCUUACAUGACCAAAAUAACAGGAAGAUAAAAAGGGCCAUAAACGAGGUCGAGAAACUUCAGCAUGUUUGAUCUUUAGGAGCCUUUUAGUCUAGGGACCCAGUUGUCCAUCAAUGCGCAACUUUGAAGAUCUCCGUAGCCACCCGUUCAACCUGCCUUAUGCUCUCCAUGCACUUUAUUCUUCCUUGAUUUUUCUGCAACACACACUAGUCAUGUAGAUUUUUAAUGAUCAGGUUCACAGGAACACAGGGGUCAACCACCCUAUGAUUAUCAAAUACCAAUCUAUUUCUAUGUUUCCACAUAGUCCAUAACAUUGCAGAUAUACCAACCGUCAUAAGACUCUUGUCAUAUUUUUCAAAUUUAUUGAUCCACCCCCCAAAAAUAUCAUUCACAUUGUCAGGAAUAUCUUGCAUACCAAGCAAACAUUUCAUGACUAUCCAUAGCAUUUUUGCCACAGAGCAAUGUACAAAAAGAUGAUCUAUGUCCUCUUCUCUCCCACAAAAGGAACAACUACUAUCACCUUGCCACCCUCUUUUCUUCAGGUUGUUUUUAGUAAGAAUACUCUUCCUUAGCAGCAGCCAUAGGAAGACUUUAACCCUAGGUGGCAUUUUCGUUUUCCACAUAAAUUUAUAAGGAUAUUUGAACCCAUUCUGGACCAGAUGUCUAUAGCAGGACUUGACGGUGUAUUUGCCAUAUCCCAUCAAGGUCCAUCUGAUCUUGUCUUGGUGUUCAUUCAAAGUAAAGCUCUCACACGCUUCCUUUAUGUGUUCCCAUAAUUCCAAUGAUUCCCCCAACAUUAGCAAGCCCUUUACUCAAAAUAACUGACACUGACUUGUCUUUAUCAAAACAAAUGGUAUAGAGACGAGGAUAACUGUCCUUUAAAGUUUUUGGUCCAAUCCACUGGUCUUCCUAGAAUCUAGUAUUCUCACCACUUCCCACAUUAAAUUUACAUAAAGAGAAGAAGAAUUCUUUAUGUUUCAACAAUUCACCCCAAAACUGUGAGUCCCCAACUUUGCCCUUGACACUCGUGCUACAUGUUUUUUGAGAUAUUUACAUCUAAGCACCUUUUGCCACAUCCCAUCAGUAUUAUAAAUUUUCCACCACCAUUUACAUAACAAAGCUCUAUUCAUAAGAGCUAGGUUUUGUAUGCCUAGCCCCCCCAUAUCUUUAGGCUUACAAACCUCUGACCAUUUAAGUAGGUGAUUUUUUUCCUAUCAUUGUUUUCCUGCUACAACAAUCUGGCCCUAAAGAAGUCCAUUCUUUUUUCAACUCCUACUGAUAAUCCAUAAAAAGACAUCAUAAAGUAAGGGAUCCCUGGUAAUGAGGACUGUAUCAGGGUCAAUCUCCCAGCACUAGCUAGUAGCCUCCCAUGCCAUGUCCCACAUUUCCACUCCAUUUUAUCCUCAGAGGGUUUCCAGUGUUUGUUUCUAAUUAUUUUUUAUCAAUAGGGAGUCCUAAGUAUUUCAUAGGUAGCUCCCCCACUGGACAAGUAAAGAUCCUAGAGUACUCUUGUCUUUUAUCAGCAGCUACACCAAAGAAAAAAAAUCACUUUUAUGAAAGUUGAUUUUUCAAGCCAGACAUUUGUUCAAACAAGCAUAAUAUAUAUUUCAGGUUACAAGCACUUUCAUAAUCAUCUUGCAAAACAAAGAUAGUGGCAUCUACAUAUUGCAGCAUAUUAACUCCACCCUCCAAUUUUUCAGCCAACAACCCUUUGAUUAGGCCAGCUUUUCUGGCAUUAUCCAUGAAGAUAGCCAAAGCAUCAGCAGCUAGAUUGAACAUUAGGGGAGACAGGGAAUCCCCCUAUCUCAGCCCUUUGUGUGUGGGAAAAUAAGGUCCAUAAUUUUCAUUGACCUUGAUACACACUUUCCUCCUCAUAUAGUCCCCAUAACCCAGUCUAUCCAUUUGUCAGGGAAACAUUUCCCUUUUAACAUCUGAAAAACAAAAGGCCAUUUUAUUUAUCACAAGCUUUUUCAAAAUCCAGUUUUCUUACAUGAUGAGAAGGUUAAUGGCGAUGGGCUUUUGUUGGGUCAGGGGAGUGUGGUUUUUUUAAUAGUUUGGAUUGCUUACCACAUGUGUCCCACCACUACGGGAGUUUAGCUGGGUCAUUUUUUAGCAGGAGCGUUGUGUUCUUCCAUUGUUGUCCCAUAAUUUCAUGGGCCGAAUAUCCAGCUAGUGAGCGAGAGUAUAGGUGCGAUUAUAUAUAUAUAGAAAAUGAUUCGUGCCGGCCGACCGGUCGCCUCGCGCACACACUGCUAGCUUCUCUCACGUGUGACGGUGUAUGGUGGGUCCCAGGCACCACUCGCAUCCCCACUUUCUUUGUGCGCGGGCUUAUCUCUUCCCAACAUCUCUCAGCCACUCGUCUCGUCUCUAUCUCAUCCUCAUCUCUCUCAACCCCUUUGAUCAUCUACCCAUCGCCUUUUGUAGGAUCGAAAGUAGGUCUAGAGGGGGGGGGGGGUGAUUAGACUACUUGACCAAAUAAAAAUCUAACCUUUUCCCAAUUUUAGUUGUGGGCGGAUUUUAGCAACUAGCACAAGUCAAGCAAUCAACCUACACAUGGAAUUCUAAGAGUGUAGCAGCGGAAAGUAAACAUUGCAUAUGAAGGUAAAGGGAAGGGUUUGGAGAGUGCAAAGGAAAUGGACACACGGAGAUUUUUGGCGUGGUUCCGAUAGGUGGUGCUAUCGUACGUCCACGUUGAUGGAGACUUCAACCCACGAAGGGUAACGGUUGCGAGAGUCCACGGAGGGCUCCACCCUCGAAGGGUCCACGAAGAAGCAACCUUGUCUAUCCCACCAUGGCCAUCGCCCACGAAGGACUUGCCUCACUCAGGUAGAUCUUCACGAAGUAGGCGAUCUCCUUGCCCUUACAAACUUCUUGGUUCAACUCCACAACUUGUCGGAGGCUCCCAAGCGACACUCAACCAAUCUAGGAGACACCACUCUCCAAAAGGUAAUAGAUGGUGUGUUGAUGAUGAACUCCUUGCUCUUGUGCUUCAAAUGAUAGUCUCCCCAACACUCAACUCUCUCUCACACAGAUUUGGAUAUGGUGGAAAGAUAAUUUGAGUGGAAAGCAACUUGGGGAAGGCUAGAAAUCAAGAUUCUUGUGGUAGGAUUGGUAUAUCUUGAUCUCAACACAUGAGUAGGUGGUUCUCUCUUAGAAAAAGUAUGCUGGAAGUGUAGGCACGUUCUGGUGGCUCUCUCACAUAUGGAGAAGGGGGUGGAGGGGUAUAUAUAGCCUCCACACAAAAUCCAACCGUUACACACAUUUGACCCAACUCGGUCAGACCGAUUUAGUUCAAAAUGUGAACGUUAGGAAUGUUGGUGGGACUGACUGCAACAAGUCGGUGGGACUGAUGUUGUAGGGCUUAGGGUAAACAUUAACUCGGUGGCACCGAUUGCAUCAACUCAGUGAGACCAAAGUGAAGCAAUAUGGCAACAGAGAGAAUGUCAAGCCAACGCGGCGAGACCGAUCGCUAUUUCGGUGAGACCGAAAUAAUUGCAAUAGGCAACAGAGAAUUGGCAAGGUCAUCUCGGUGAGACCGAGAUCCAUAUCGGUGUGAGCGAACUGUUAGGGUUUCUGGCAGUGGCUAUGUCAUAUGAACUCUCCAAAAGAUAAGACUGGACUACAAGGGACAGAGAGUGGAUGGCACUAUAAGCAAAGUGCUUCUAGUUUGUGCAAAAUACGGAAAACCACAUGGACAAGGAGGAGCUGCAGAGUGUGCAAAACUCAACCAUCAUUGCGAAGAAGAGAAAAAGAGAAAGGUUGUGAGGACUGAAUGUCAAGCCCACAUGUAUGUUAUGUUGGGGAACGCAGUAUUUCAAAAAAAUUCCCUACGAUCACGCAAGAUCUAUCUAUGUGAUGCAUAGCAACGAGAGGGAGAGUGUGUCCACGUACCCUCGUAGACCGAAAGCGGAAGCGUUUAGUAACACGGUUGAUGUAGUCGAACGUCUUUGCGAUCCAACCGAUCAAGUACCGAACGCACGGCACCUCCGCGAUCUGCACACGUUCAGCUCGGUGACGUCCCUCGAACUCUUGAUCCAGUUGAGGCUGAGCGAGAGUUCCGUCAGCACGACGGCAUGGUGAUGGUGUUGAUGAAAAGUUACCGACGCAGGGCUUCACCUAAGCACUACAACAAUAUGACCGAGGUGGAAAUCUGUGGAGGAAGGCACCGCACACGGCUAAGAUCAACUUGAUGUGUUCUAGGGUGCCCCUGUUGGGGAACGUAGUAAUUUCAAAAAAAUUUCCUACGCACACGCAAGAUCAUGGUGAUGCAUAGCAACGAGAGGGGAGAGUGUUGUCCACGUACCCUCGUAGACCGAUAGCGGAAGCGUUAACACAACGCGGUUGAUGUAGUCGUAAGUCUUCACGAUCCGACCGAUCAAGUACCGAACGCACGGCACCUCCGAGUUCUACACACGUUCAGCUCGAUGACGUCCCUCGAACUCCGAUCCAGCCGAGUGUUGAGGGAGAGUUUCGUCAGCACGACGGCGUGGUGACGAUGAUGAUGUUCCACCGACGUAGGGCUUCGCCUAAGCUCCGCAACGGUAUUAUCGAGGUGUAAUAUGGUGGAGGGGGCACCGCACACGGCUAAGAGAUCUCAAGGAUCAAUUGUUGUGUCCAUGGGGUGCCCCCUGCCCCCGUAUAUAAAGGAGCAAGGGAGGAGGAGGCCGGCCCUAGGAGGGGGCGCACCAAGUGUGGAGUCCUACUAGGACUCCCUAGUCCUAGUAGGAUUCCACCUCCCUUAUGGAAUAGGAAAAGAUGAAGGGAAAAAGAGAAGGAAGGAAGGGGGCGCCCCCCUUCCCUAGUCCAAUUCGGACCAGACCAAGGGAGGGGUGCGGCCACCCUUGAGGCCCUUUUCCUUCUUUCCCGUAUGGCCCAAUAAGGCCCAAUACAUAUUCCCGUAACUCUCCGGUACUCCGAAAAGUACCCGAAUCACUCGGAACCUUUCCGAAGUCCGAAUAUAGUCGUCCAAUAUAUCGAUCUUUACGUCUCGACCAUUUUGAGACUCCUCGUCAUGUCCCCGAUCUCAUCCGGGACUCCGAACUCCUUCGGUACAUCAACAUACAUAAACUCAUAAUAAAACUGUCAUCGUAACUUUAAGCGUGCGGACCCUACGGGUUCGAGAACUAUGUAGACAUGACCGAGACACGUCUCCGGUCAAUAACCAAUAGCGGGACCUGGAUGCCCAUAUUGGCUCCCACAUAUUCUAUGAAGAUCUUUAUCGGUCAGACCGCAUAACAACAUACGUUGUUCCCUUUGUCACCGGUAUGUUACUUGCCCGAGAUUUGAUCGUCGGUAUCUCGAUACCUAGUUCAAUAUCGUUACCGGCAAGUCUCUUUACUCGUUCCGUAACACAUCAUCCCGCAACUAACUCAUUUAGUCACAAUGCUUGCAAGGCUUAUAGUGAUGUGCAUUACCGAGUGGGCCCAGAGAUACCUCUCCGACAAUCGGAGUGACAAAUCCUAAUCUCGAAAUACGCCAACCCAACAAGUACCUUUGGAGACACCUGUAGAGCACCUUUAUAAUCACCCAUUUACGUUGUGACGUUUGGUAGCACACAAAGUGUUCCUCCGGUAAACAGGAGUUGCAUAAUCUCAUAGUUAUAGGAACAUGUAUAAGUCAUGAAGAAAGCAAUAGCAACAUACUAAACGAUCGAGUGCUAAGCUAACGGAAUGGGUCAAGUCAAUCACGUCAUUCUCCUAAUGAGGUGAUCUCGUUAAUCAAAUGACAACUUAUCUCUAUGGCUAGGAAACAUAACCAUCUUUGAUUAACGAGCUAGUCAAGUAGAGGCAUACUAGUGACACUCUGUUUGUCUAUAUAUUCACACAUGUAUUAUGUUUCCGGUUAAUACAAUUCUAGCAUGAAUAAUAAACAUUUAUCAUGAUACAAGGAAAUAAAUAAUAACUUUAUUAUUGCCUCUAGGGCAUAUUUCCUUCAGCCCCCUCCCCACAUAUAUAAAGGAGGGAGGGGGAGGCCGGCUGGCCCUCAUAGGCGCUCCAAGGGGGGAGGAAUCCUCCUCCUAGUAGGAGUAGGACUCCCCCCUUUCCUAGUCCUACUAGGAGAAGAAGGAAGGAGGGGGGAAGAUUAGGAAGGAGGGGGCGCCGCCCCUCCCCCUAGACCAAUUCGGACUAGGCCCAUCGGGGGGCACGCGGCCAGCCCUUGGCAGCCCCUCUCUCUCCCCUAGGCCCAAUAAGGCCCAUUACUUCUCCGGUGGUUCUGAUAACCCUUCCGGCACUCCGAUAUUUAUCCGGUGACCCUUGGAACUCAUCCGAUGUCCAAAUAACAUCGUCUAAUAUAUCAUUCUUUAUGUCUCAACCAUUUUGAGACUCCUCGUCAUGUCCGUGAUCACAUCCGGGACUCCGAACUACCUUCGAUACAUCAAAACACAUAAACUCAUAAUACUGAUCGUCACCGAACGUUGAGCGUGCAGACCCUACGGGUUCGAGAACUAUGUAGACAUGACCGAGACUCAUCUCCGGUCAAUAACCAAUAGAGGAACCUGGAUGCUCAUAUUGGUUCCUACAUAUUCCACGAAGAUCUUUAUCGGUCAAACCGCAUAACAACAUACGUUGUUCCCUUUGUCAUCGGUAUGUUACUUGCCCGAGAUUCGAUCGUCGGUAUCUCAAUACCUAGUUCAAUCUCGUUACCGGCAAGUCUCUUUACUCGUUCUGUAAUGCAUCAUCCCGCAACUAACUCAUUAGUCACAUUGCUGGCAAGGCUUAUAGUGAUGUGCAUUACCGAGAGGGCCCAGAGAUACCUCUCCGACAAUAGGAGUGACAAAUACUAGUCUCGAUCUAUGCCAACUCAACAAACCCUAUUGGUGACACCUGUAGAGCACCUUUAUAAUCACCCAGUUACAUUGUGACGUUUGGUAGCACACUAAGUGUUCCUCCGGUAUUCGAGAGUUGCAUAAUCUCAUAGUCAUAGGAACAUGUAUAAGUCAUGAAGAAUGCAAUAGAAACAUACUAAAUGAUCAAGUACUAAGCUAACGGAAUGGGUCAAGUCAAUCACAUCAUUCUCUAAUGAUCUGAUCCCGUUAAUCAAAUGACAACUCAUGUCUAUGGCUAGGAAACUUAACCAUCUUUGAUUCAACGAGCUAGUCAAGUAGACACAUACCAGUGACACUCUGUUUGUCUAUGUAUUCACACAUGUACUAAGUUUCCGGUUAAUACAAUUCUAGCAUGAAUAAUAAACAUUUAUCAUGAUAUAAGGAAAUAUAAAUAACAACUAUAUUAUUGCCUCUAGGGCAUAUUUCCUUCAGUCUCCCACUUGCACUAGAGUCAAUAAUCUAGAUUACACAGUAAUGAUUCUAACACCCAUGGAGUCUUGGUGCUGAUCAUGUUUUGCUCGUGAGAGAGGCUUAGUAAACGGGUCUGCAACAUUCAGAUCCGUAUGUAUCUUGCAAAUCUCUAUGUCUCCCUCCUUGACUUGAGCGCGGAUGGAACUGAAGCGUCUCUUGAUGUGCUUGGUUCUCUUGUGAAAUCUGGAUUCCUUUGCCAAGGCAAUUGCACCAGUAUUGUCACAAAAGAUUCUCAUUGGACCCGAUGCACUAGGUAUGAUACCUAGAUCGGAUAUGAACUCCUUCAUCCAGACUCCUUCAUUUGCUACUUCCAAAGAAGCUAUGUACUCCACUUCACAUGUAGAUCCCGCCACGACGCUUUGCUUGGAACUGCACCAACUGACAGCUCCACCGUUCAAUAUAAAUACGUAUCCGGUUUGUGACUUAGAGUCAUCCGGAUCAGUGUCAAAGCUUGCAUCGACGUAACCAUUUACGAGGAGCUCUUUGUCACCUCCAUAAACAAGAAACAUAUCCUUAGUCCUUUUCAGGUAUUUUAGGAUGUUCUUGACCGCUGUCCAGUGAUCCACUCCUGGAUUACUUUGGUACUUCCCUGCUAAACUAGUAGCAAGGGGCACAUCAGGUCUGGUACACAGCAUUGCAUACAUGAUAGAACCUAUGGCUGAAGCCUAGGGAAUGACUUUCAUUUUCUCUUUAUCUUCUGCAGUGGUCGGACAUUGAGUCUGACUCAACUUCACACCUUGUAACACAGGCAAGAACCCUUUCUUUGCUUGAUCCAUUUUGAACUUCUUCAAAACUUUAUCAAGGUAUGUACUUUGUGAAAGUCCAAUUAAGCGUCUCGAUCUAUCUCUAUAGAUCUUGAUGCCCAAUAUAUAAGCAGCUUCACCGAGGUCUUUCAUUGAAAAACUCUUGUUCAAGUAUCCUUUUAUGCUAUCCAGAAAUUCUAUAUCAUUUCCAAUCAACAAUAUGUCAAUCACAUAUAUUAUUAGAAAUGCUACAGAGCUCCCACUCACUUUCUUGUAAAUACAGGCUUCUGUAGCAUUUCUAAUAUUAUAUGUGGAUGACAUAUUGUUGAUUGGAAAUGAUAUAGAAUUUCUGGAUAGCUUAAAAGGAUACUUGAAUAGGAGUUUUUCAAUGAAAGACCUCGGUGAAGCUGCUUAUAUAUUGGGCAUCAAGAUCUAUAGAGAUAGAUCAAGACGCUUACUUGGACUUUCACAAAGCACAUACCUUGACAAAAUUUUGAAGAAGUUCAAAAUGGAUCAAGCAAAGAAAGGGUUCUCUCCUGUGUUACAAGGUGUGAAGUUGAGUCAGACUCAAUGCCCGACCACUGCAGAAGAUAGAGAGAAAAUGAAAGUCAUUCCCUAUGCUUCAACCAUAGGUUCUAUCAUGUAUGCAAUGCUGUGUACCAGACCUGAUGUGUGCCUUGCUAUUAGUUUAGCACGGAGGUACCAAAGUAAUCUAGGAGUGGAUCACUGGACAGUGGUCAAGAACAUCCUAAAAUACCUGAAAAGGACUAAGGAUAUGUUUCUCGUUUAUGGAGGUGACAAAGAGCUCGUCGUAAAUGGUUACGUCGAUGCAAGCUUUGACACUGAUCCGGAUGACUCUAAGUCACAAACCGGAUACGUAUUUAUAUUGAACAGUGGAGCUGUCAGUUGAUGCAGUUCUAAGCAAAGCGUCGUAGCGGGAUCUACGUGUGAAGCGGAGUACAUAGCUUCUUCGGAAGUAGCAAAUGAAGGAGUCUGGAUGAAGGAGUUCAUAUCCGAUCUAGAUGUCAUACCUAGUGCAUCGGGUCCAAUGAGAAUCUUUUGUGACAAUACUGGUGCAAUUGCCUUGGCAAAGGAAUCCAGAUUUCACAAGAGAACCAAGCACAUCAAGAGACGCUUCAAUUCCAUCCGCGAUCAAGUCAAGGAGGGAGACAUAUUGAUUUGCAAGAUACAUAUGGAUCUGAAUGUUGCAGACCCGUUGACUAAGCCUCUCUCACGAGCAAAACAUGAUCAGCACCAAGACUCCAUGGGUGUUAGAAUCAUUACUGUGUAAUCUAGAUUAUUGACUCUAGUGCAAGUGGGAGACUGAAGGAAAUACGUGUUGGGGAACGUAGUAAUUUCAAAAAAAUUCCUACGCACACGCAAGAUCAUGGUGAUGCAUAGCAACGAGAGGGGAGAGUGUUGUCCACGUACCCUCGUAGACCGAAAGCGGAAGCGUUAGCACAACGCGGUUGAUGUAGUCGUACGUAUUCACGAUCCGACCGAUCAAGUACCGAACGCAUGGCACCUCCGAGUUCAGCACACGUUCAACUCGAUGACGUCCCUCGAACUUCGAUCCAGCCGAGCUUUGAGGGAGAGUUCCGUCAGCACGACGGCGUGGUGACGAUGAUGAUGUUCUACCGACGCAGGGCUUCGCCUAAGCACCGCUACGAUAUGACCGAGGUGGAUUAUCGUGGUGGGGGCACCGCACACGGCUAAGAGAUCCAAGGGAUCAAUUGUUGUGUCUCCAAGGGGUGCCACCCUCCCCGUAUGUAAAGGAGUGGAGGAGGGGGGAGGGCCGGCCCUCUCUAUGGCGCGCCCUAGGAGGAGUCCUACUCCCUCCGGGAGUAGGAUUCCCCCCUUCCAAGUAGUAGGAGUAGGAGUCAAGGAAAGGGGAGAGAGAAGAGAAGGAAGGAGGGGGCGCAGCCCUUCCCCCUAGUCCAAUUCGGACUAGGCCUUGGGGGGGCGCCCAGCCUCUCCUCUCUCUUUCCCCUAAAGCCCAAUAAGGCCCAUAUACUCCCCGGCGAAUUCCCGUAACUCUCCGGUACUCCGAAAAAAUAUCCGAAUCACUCGGAACCUUUCCGAUGUCCGAAUAUAGUCGUCCAAUAUAUCGAUCUUUACGUCUCAACCAUUUCGAGACUCCUCGUCUUGUCCCCGAUCUCAUCCGGGAUUCCGAACUACCUUCGAUACAUCAAAACACAUAAACUCAUAAUAUAACCGUCAUCGAACUUUAAGCGUGCGGACCCUACGGGUUCGAGAACAAUGUAGACAUGACCGAGAUACGUUUCCGGUCAAUAACCAAUAGCGGAACCUGGAUGCUCAUAUUGGCUCCCACAUAUUCUACGAAGAUCUUUAUCGGUCAAACCGCAUAACAACAUACGUUGUUCCCUUUGUCAUCGGUAUGUUACUUGCCCGAGAUUCGAUCGUCGGUAUCUCAAUACCUAGUUCAAUCUCGUUACCGGCAAGUCUCUUUACUCGUUCCAUAAUACAUCAUCCCGCAACUAACUCAUUAGUUACAAUGCUUGCAAGGCUUAUUGUGAUGUGCAUUACUGAGUGGGCCCAGAGAUACCUCUCCGACAAUCAUAGUGACAAAUCCUAAUCUCGAAAUACGCCAACCCAACAAGUACCUUCGGAGACACCUGUAGAUCACCUUUAUAAUCACCCAGUUACGUUGUGAAAUUUGGUAGCACACAAAGUGUUCCUCCGGUAAACGGGAGUUGCAUAAUCUCAUAGUCAUAGGAACAUGUAUAAGUCAUGAAGAAAGCAGUAGCAGAAUACUAAACGAUCAAGUGCUAAGCUAACGGAAUGGGUCAAGUCAAUCACAUCAUUCUCCUAAUGAUGUGAUCCCGUUAAUCAAAUGAUAACUCAUGUCUAUGGCUAGGAAACAUAACCAUCUUUGAUCAACGAGCUAGUCAAGUAGAGGCAUACUAGUGACACUCUGUUUGUCUUAUGUACUCACACAUGUAUUAUGUUUCCGGUUAAUACAAUUCUAGCAUGAAUAAUAAACAUUUAUCAUGAAAUAAGGAAAUAAAUAAUAACUUUAUUAUUGCCUCUAGGGCAUAUUUCCUUCAGUCUCCCACUUGCACUAGAGUCAAUAAUCUAGAUCACAUCGCCAUGUGAUUUAACAUCAAUAAUUCACAUCACCAUGUGAUUAACACCCAUAGUUCACAUCGUCAUGUGACCAACACCCAAAGGGUUUACUAGACUCAAUAAUCUAGUUCAGAUCGCUAUGUGAUUAACACCCAAAGAGUACUAAGGUGUGAUCAUGUUUUGCUUGUGAGAGAAGUUUAGUCAACGGGUCUGCCAUAUUCAGAUCCGUAUGUAUUUUGCAAAUUUCUAUGUCUACAAUGCUCUGCUCGGAGCUACUUUAGCUAAUUGCUCCCACUUUCAAUAUGUAUCCAGAUUAAUACUUAGAGCCAUCUGGGUCAGUGCCAAAACUUGUAUUGACGUAACCCUUUACGACGAACCUUGUUGUCACCUCCAUAAUCGAGAAACAUAUCCUUAUUCCACUAAGGAUAAUUUUGACCGCUGUCCAGUGAUCUACUCCUAGAUCACUAUUGUACUCCCUUGCCAAAAUCAGUGUAGGGUAUACAAUAGAUCUCGUACAUAGCAUGGCAUACUUUAUAGAACCUAUGGUUGAGGCAUAGGGGAUGACUUUCAUUCUCUUUCUAUCUUCUGCCGUGGUCGGGUUUUGAGUCUUACUCAAUUUCACACUUUGUAACACAGGCAAGAACUCUUUCUUUGACUGUUCCAUUUUGAACUACUUCAAAAUCUUGUCAAGGUAUGUACUCAUUGAAAAAACUUAUCAAGCGUUUUGAUCUACCUCUAUAGAUCUUGAUGCUUAAUAUGUAAGCAGCUUCACCGAGGUCUUUCUUUGAAAAACUCCUUUCAAACACUCCUUUAUGCUUUGCAGAAUAAUUCUACAUUAUUUUUGAUCAACAAUAUGCCAUUCGCAUAUACUUAUCAGAAAUGUUGUAGUGCUCCCACUCACUUUCUUGUAAAUACAGGCUUCACCGCAAGUCUGUAUAAAACUAUAUGCUUUGAUCAACUCAUCAAAGCGUAUAUUCCAACUCCGAGAUGCUUGCACCAGUCCAUAGAUGGAUCGCUGGAGCUUGCACAUUUUGUCAACGCCUUUAGGAUCGACAAAACCUUCCGGUUGCAUCAUAUACAACUCUUCUUUAAUAAAUCCAUUAAGGAAUGCAGUUUUGUUUAUCCAUUUGCCAGAUUUCAUAAAAUGCGGCAAUUGCUAACAUGAUUCAGACAGACUUAAGCAUAGAUACGAGUGAGAAACUCUCAUCGUAGUUAACACCUUGAACUUGUCGAAAACCUUUUACGACAAUUCUAGCUUUGUAGAUAGUAACACUAUUAUCAACGUCCGUCUUCCUCUUGAAGAUCCAUUUAAUCUCAAUGGCUUGCCGAUCAUUGGGCAAUCAAUCAAAGUCCAUACUUUGUUCUCAUACAUGGAUCCCAUCUCAGAUUUCAUGGCCUCAAACCAUUUCGCGGAAUCUGGGCUCAUCAUCGCUUCCUCAUAGUUCGUAGGUUCGUCAUGGUCAAGUAACAUGACCUCCAGAAUAGGAUUACCGUACCACUCUGGUGUGGAUCUCACUCUGGUUGACCUACGAGGUUCGGUAGUAACUUGAUCUGAAGUUACAUGAUCAUCAUCAUUAGCUUCCUCACUAAUUGGUGUAGGAGUCACAGGAACAGAUUUAUGUGAUGAACUACUUUCCAAUAAGGGAGCAUGUACAGUUACCUCAUCAAGUUCUACUUUCCUCCCACUCACUUCUUUCGAGAGAAACUCCUUCUCUAGAAAGGAUCCAUUCUUAGCAACGAAUGUCUUGCCUUCGGAUCUAUGAUAGAAGGUGUACCCAAUAGUUUCCUUUGGGUAUCCUAUUAAGACACAUUUUUCCGAUUUGGGUUUGAGCUUAUCAGGAUGAAACUUUUUCACAUAAGCAUCGCAACCCCAAACUUUAAGAAACGACAACUUUGGUUUCUUGCCAAACCACAGUUCAUAAGGCGUCGUCUCAACGGAUUUAGAAGGUGCCCUAUUUAAUGUGAAUGCAGCUGUCUCUAAUGCAUAACCCCAGAACGAUAGUGGUAAAUCGGUAACAGACAUCAUAGAUUACACCAUGUCCAACGAAGUACGGUUAUGACGUUCGGACACACCAUUAUGCUAUGGUGUUCCAGGUGGCAUGAAUUUGUGAAACGAUUCCACAUUGUUUUAAUUGAAGACCAAACUCGUAACUCAAAUAUUUGUCUCCGUGAUCAGAUCGUAGAAACUUUAUUUUCUUGUCACGAUGAUUUUCCACUUCACUCUGAAAUUCUUUGAACUUUUCAAAUGUUUCAGACUUAUGUUUCAUCAAGUAGAUAUACCCAUAUCUGCUCAAAUUAUCUGUGAAGGUCAGAAAAUAACGAUACCCGCUGCGAGCCUCAACACUCAUCGGAUCGCAUACAUCAGUAUGUAUUAUUUCCAAUAAGCCAGUUGCUUGCUCCAUUGUUCCGGAGAACGGAGUUUUAGUCAUCUUGCCCAUAAGGCAUGGUUCGCAAGCAUCAAGUGAUUCAUAAUCAAGUGAUUCCAAAAUCCCAUCAGCAUGGACUUUCUUCAUGCGCUUUACACCAAUAUGACCUAAACGGCAGUGCCACAAAUAAGUUGCACUAUCAUUAUUAACUUUGGAUCUUUUGGCUUCGAUAUUAUGAAUAUGUGUAUCACUACGAUCGAGAUCCAACAAACCAUUUUCAUUGGGUGUAUGACCAUAGAAGGUUUUAUUCAUCUAAAUAGAACAACAAUUAUUCUCUAACUUAAAUGAAUAACUGUAUUGCAAUAAACAUGAUCAAAUCAUAUUCAUGCUCAACGCAAACACCAAAUAACACUUAUUUAGGUUCAACACUAAUCCUGAAAGUGUAGGGAGCGUGCGAUGAUGAUCAUAUCAAUCUUGGAACCACUUCCAACACACAUCGUCACUUCACCCUUAACUAGUCUCUGUUCAUUCCGCAACUCCUGUUUCGAGUUACUACUCUUAGUAACUGAACCAGUAUCAAAUACUGAGGGGUUGCUACGAACAUUAGUAAAAUACACAUCAAUAAUCUGUAUAUCAAAUAUACCUUUGUUCACUUUGCCAUCCUUCUUAUCCGCCAAAUACUUGGGGCAGUUCCGCUUCCAGUGACCAGUCCCUUUGCAGUAGAAGCACUUAGUCUCAGGCUUAGGACCAGACUUGGGCUUCUUCACUUGAGCAGCAACUUGCUUGCCGUUCUUCUUGAAGUUCCCCUUCUUCCCUUUGCCGUUUUAUUGAAACUAGUGGUCUCGUCAACCAUCAACACUUGAUGUUUUUCUUGAUUUCUACCUUCGUCGAUUUUAGCAUCACGAAGAGCUUGGGAAUUGUUUCCAUUAUCCCUUGCAUAUUAUAGUUUGUCACGAAGUUCUACUAACUUAGUGAUGGUGACUAGAGAAUUCUACCAAUCACUAUCUUAUCUGGAAGAUUAACUCCCACUUGAUUCAAGCGAUUGUAGUACCCAGACAAUCUGAGCACAUGCUUACUGCUUGAGCUAUUCUCCUCCAUCUUUUAGUUAUAGAACUUGUUGGAGACUUCAUAUCUCUCAACUCGGGUAUUUGCUUGAAAUAUUAACUUCAACUCCUGGAACAUCUCAUAUGGUCCAUGACGUUCAAAACGUCUUUGAAGUCCCGAUUCUAAGUCGUUAAGCAUGGUGCACUAAACUAUCAAGUUGUCAUCAUAUUGAGCUAGCCAAACGUUCAUAACGUCUGCAUUUGCUGCUGCAAUAGGUCUGUCACCUAGUGGUGUAUCAAGGACAUAAUUCUUCUAUGCAGCAAUGAGGAUAAACCUCAGAUCACAGACCCAGUCCGCAUCAUUGCUACUAUCAUCUUUCAACUUAGUUUUCUCUAGGAACAUACAUAAAACAUAGGGAAGCAACAACGCGAGCUAUUGAUCUACAACAUAGAUAUGCUAAUACUACCAGGACUAAGUUCAUGAUAAAUUAAAGUUCAAUUAAUCAUAUUACUUAAGAACUCCCACUUAGAUAGACAUCCCUCUAAUCCUCUAAGUGAUCACGUGAUCCAAAUCAACUAAACCAUGUCCGAUCAUCACGUGAGAUGGAGUAGUUUCAAUGGUGAACAUCACAAUGUUGAUCAUAUCUACUAUAUGAUUCACGCUCGACCUUUCGGUCUCAGUGUUCCGAGGCCAUAUUUGUUAUAUGCUAGGCUCAUCAAGUUUAACCUGAGUAUUCCGCGUGUGCAACUGUUUUGCACCCGUUGUAUUUGAACAUAGAGCCUAUCACACCCGAUCAUCACGUGGUGUCUCAGCACGAAGAACUUUCGCAAUUGUGCAUACUCAGGAAGAACACUUAUAACUUGAUAAUUUAGUGAGAGAUCAUCUUAUAAAGCUACCGCCGAACUAAGCAAAAUAAAAUGUAUAAAAGAUAAACAUCACAUGCAAUCAUAAUAUGUGACAUGAUAUGGCCAUCAUCAUCUUGUGCCUUUGAUCUCCAUCUCCAAAGCAUCGUCAUGAUCUCCAUCGUCACCGGCAUGACACCAUGAUCUCCAUCAUCUUGAUCUAUAUCAAUGUGUCGUCACAUGGUCGUCUCGCCAACUAUUGCUCUUGCAACUAUUGCUAUCGCAUAGCGAUAAAGUAAAGCAAUUAUUUGGCACUUGCAUCUUAUGCAACAAAGAGACAACCAUAAGGCUUCUGCCAAUUGCCGAUAACUUCAACAAAACAUGAUCAUCUCAUACAACAAAAUAUAGCAUCAUGUCUUGACCAUAUCACAUCACAACAUGCCCUGCAAAAAAAAGUUAGACGUCCUCUACUUUGUUGUUGCAAGUUUUACGUGGCUGCUAUGGGCUGAGAAAGAACCAUUCUUACCUACGCAUCAAAACCACAACGAUAGUUUGUCAAGUUGGUGCUGUUUUAACCUUCGCAAGGAUCGGGCGUAGCCACACUCAGUUCAACUAAAGUUGGAGAAACUGACACCCGCUAGUCACCUGUGUGCAUAGCACGGCGGUAAAACCAGUCUCGCGUAAGCGUACGCGUAAGUCGGUCCGGGCCGCUUCAUCCAACAAUACCACCGAACCGAAGUGUGACAUGCUGGUAAGCAGUAUGGCUUAUAUCGCCCACAACUCACUUGUGUUCUACUCGUGCAUAUUACAUCAACGCAUAAAACCUGACUCGGAUGCCACUGUUGGGGAACGUAGUAAUUUCAAAAAAAUUCCUACGCACACGCAAGAUCGUGGUGAUGCAUAGCAACGAGAGGGGAGAGUGUUGUCCACGUACCCUCGUAGACCGAAAGCGGAAGCGUUAGCACAACGCGGUUGAUGUAGUCGUACGUCUUCGUGAUCCGACCGAUCAAGUACCGAACUCACGCCACCUCCGAGUUCAGCACACGUUCAACUCGAUGACGUCCCUCGAACUCCGAUCCAGCCGAGCUUUGAGGGAGAGUUCCGUCAGCACGACGGCGUGGUGACGAUGAUGAUGUUCUACCGAUGCAGGGCUUCGCCUAAGCACCGCUACGAUAUGACCGAGGUGGAUUAUGGUGGAGGGGGCACCGCACACGGCUAAGAGAUCCAAGGGAUCAAUUUUUGUGUCUCCAAGGGGUGCCAACCUCCCCGUAUAUAAAGGAGUGGAGGAGGGGGGAGGGCCGGCCCUCUCUAUGGCGCCCCCUAGGAGGAGUCCUACUCCCACCGGGAGUAGGAUUCCCCCCUUCCAAGUAGUAGGAGUAGGAGUCAAGGAAAGGGGAGAGAGAAGAGAAGGAAGGAGGGGGCGCAGCCCCUCCCCCUAGUCCAACUCGGACUAGGCCUUGGGGGGCGCCCAGCCUCUCUUCUCUCUUUCCCCUAAAGCCCAAUAAGGCCCAUAUACUCCCCGGCGAAUUCCCGUAACUCUACGGUACUCCGAAAAAUACCCGAAUCACUCGGAACCUUUCCGAUGUCCGAAUAUAGUCAUCCAAUAUAUCGAUCUUUACGUCUCGACCAUUUCGAGACUCCUCGUCAUGUCCCAAAUCUCAUCCGGGACUCCGAACUACCUUCGGUACAUCACAACACAUAAACUCAUAAUGUAACCGUCAUCGAACUUUAAGCGUGCGGACCCUACGGGUUCGAGAACAAUGUAGACAUGACCGAGAUACGUCUCCAGUCAAUAACCAAUAACGAAACCUGGAUGCUCAUAUUGGCUCCCACAUAUUGUACGAAGAUCUUUAUCGGUCAAACCGCAUAACAACAUACGUUGUUCCCUUUGUCAUCGGUAUGUUACUUGCCCGAGAUUUGAUCGUCGGUAUCUCAAUACCUAGUUCAAUCUCGUUACCGGCAAGUCUCUUUACUCGUUCCGUAAUACAUCAUCCCGCAACUAACUCAUUAGUUACAAUGCUUGCAAGGCUUAUAGUGAUGUGCAUUACUGAGUGGGCCUAGAGAUACCUCUCCGACAAUCGGAGUGACAAAUCCUAAUCUCGAAAUACGCCAACCCAACAAGUACCUUUGGAGACACUUGUAGAGCACCUUUAUAAUCACCCAGUUACGUUGUGACGUUUGGUAGCACACAAAGUGUUCCUCCGGUAGACGGGAGUUGCAUAAUCUCAUAGUCAUAGGAACAUGUAUAAGUCAUAAAGAAAGCAAUAGCAGAAUACUAAACGAUCAAGUGCUAAGCUAACGGAAUGGGUCAAGUCAAUCACAUCAUUCUCCUAAUGAUGUGAUCCCGUUAAUCAAAUGACAACUCAUGUCUAUGGCUAGGAAACAUAACCAUCUUUGAUCAGCGAGCUAGUCAAGUAGAGGCAUACUAGUGACACUCUGUUUGUCUAUGUACUCACACAUGUAUUAUGUUUCCGGUUAAUACAAUUCUAGCAUGAAUAAUAAACAUUUAUCAUGAUAUAAGGAAAUAUAAAUAACAACUUUAUUAUUGCCUCUAGGGCAUAUUGAAGGAAAUAUGCCCUAGAGGCAAUAAUAAAGUUGUUAUUUAUAUUUCCUUAUAUCAUGAUAAAUGUUUAUUAUUCAUGCUAGAAUUGUAUUAACCGGAAACUUAGUACAUGUGUGAAUACAUAGACAAACAGAGCGUCACUAGUAUGCCUCUACUUGACUAGCUCGUUGAAACCAAGAUGAUCAAGUUUCCUAGCCAUAGACAUGAGUUGUCAUUUGAUUAACGGGAUCACAUCAUUAGAGAAUGAUGUGAUUGACUUGACCCAUUCCGUUAGCUUAGCACUUGAUCGUUUAGUUUGUUGCUAUUGCUUUCUUCAUGACUUAUACAUGUUCCUGUGACUAUGAGAUUAUGCAACUCCCGAAUACCGGAGGAACACUUAGUGUGCUAUCAAACGUCACAACGUAACUGGGUGAUUAUAAGGAUGCUCUACAGGUGUCUCCGAUGGUGUUUGUUGAGUUGGCAUAGAUCGAGAUUAGGAUUUGUCACUCCGGUUGUCGGAGAGGUAUCUCCGGGCCUUCUCGGUAAUGCACAUCACUAUAAGCCUUGCAAGCAAUGUGAAUAAUGAGUUAGUUAUGGGAUGAUGCAUUACGGAACGAGUAAAGAGACUUGCUGGUAACGAGAUUGAACUAGGUAUUGAGAUACCGACGAUCGAAUCUCGGGCAAGUAACAUACCGAUGACAAAGGGAACAACGUAUGUUGUUAUGCGGUUUGACCGAUAAAGAUCUUCGUAGAAUAUGUAGGAACCAAUAUGAGCAUCCAUGUUCCGCUGUUGGUUAUUGAUCGGAGAUGAGUCUCGGUCUUGUCUACAUAGUUCUCGAACCCGUAGGGUCCGCACGCUUAACGUUCGAUGACGAUCGGUAUUAUGAGUUUAUGUGUUUUGAUGUACUGAAGGUUGUUCGGAGUCCCGGAUGUGAUUGCGGACAUGACGAGGACUCUUGAAAUGGUCGAGACAUAAAGAUUGAUAUGUUGGACGACUAUAUUCGGACACCGGAAGUGUUCCGGAGAAGUUUCGGAUAAAACCGGAGUGCCAGAGGGUUAUCGGAACCCCCGGGGAACUAAUGCGCCUCGAUGGGCCUUAGUGGAGAGAGAGAGGGGCGGCCAGGGCAGGCCGCGCGCUCCCUCCCCCUUGAGUCCGAAUUGGACUAGGAAGGGGGGCGGAGCCCCCUUUCCUUCUCCCUCUCCCUCUCCUUCCUUCCCCCUCUCUCCCUUUUGGUGGAAACCUACUAGGACUUGGAGUCCUAGUAGGAUUCCCCUCUUGGGGGCGCGCCAAGGAGGGUCGGCCGGCCUCCCCCCUUGCUCCUUUAUAUACGGGGGCAGGGGGCACCCCAAGACACACAAGUUGAUUGUUUAGCCGUGUGCGGUGCCCCCUCCACAGAUUUCCACCUCGGUCAUAUCGUUGUAGUGCUUAGGAGAAGCCCUGCGUCGGUAACUUCAUCAUCACCGUCAUCACGCCGUCGUGCUAACAAAACUCUCCCUCGACCUCAGCUGGAUCUAGAGUUCGUGGGACGUCACAGAGCUGAACGUGUGCAGAUCGCGGAGGUGCCGUACUUUCAGUGCUAGGAUCGGUCGGAUCGUGAAGACGUACGCCUACAUCAACCGUGUUGUCAUAACGCUUCCGCUUUUGGUCUACGAGGGUACGUGGACGUCACUCUCCCCUCUCGUUGCUAUGCAUCAGCUAGAUGGAUCUUGCGUGUGCGUAGGAAUUUUUUUGAAAUUACUGUGUUCCCCAACAGUAACAUUACCGUCAGCGUCAGUCUUCUUCUUGAAGAUCCAUUUAUUCUCUAUGGCUUGCCGAUCAUCGGGCAAGUCAACCAAAGUCUACACUUUGUUCUCAUACAUGGAUCCCACCUCAGAUUUCAUAGCUUCAAGCCAUUUCGCGGAAUCUGGGCUCAUCAUCGCUUCCUCAUAGUUCGUAAGUUCUUCAUGGUCAAGUAACAUGACCUCCAGAACAGGAUUACCGUACCACUCUGGUGCGGAUCUUACUCUGGUUGACCUACGAGGUUCGGUAGUAACUUGAUCUGAAGUUACAUGAUCAUUAUCAUUAGCUUCCUCACUAAUUGGUGUAGGAGUCACAGGAACUGAUUUUUGUGAUGAACUACUUUCAAAUAAGGGAGCAGGUACAGUUACCUCAUCAAGUUCUACUUUCCUCCCACUCACUUCUUUCGAGAGAAACUCCUUCUCUAGAAAGGAUCCAUUCUUAGCAACGAAUGUCUUGCCUUCGGAUCUAUGAUAGAAGGUGUACCUAACAUUCUCCUUUGGGUAUCCUAUGAAGACACAUUUCUCCGAUUUAGGUUCGAGCUUAUCAGGUUGAAGGUUUUUCACAUAAGCAUCGCAGCCCCAAACUUUAAGAAACAACAACUUGGGUUUCUUGCCAAACCACAGUUCAUAAGGUGUCGUCUCAACGGAUUUAGAUAGCGUCCUGUUUAACGUGAAUGCAGCUGUCUCUAAAGCAUAACCCCAAAACGAUAGCGGUAAAUCAGUAAACGACGUUCGGACACACCAUUAUGCUGUGGUGUUCCGGGUGGUGUGAGUUGCAAAACUAUUUCACAUUGUUUCAAAUGAAGACCAAACUCGUAACUCAAAUAUUCUCCUCCACGAUCAGAUCGUAGAAACUUUAUUUUCUUGUUACGAUGAUUUUCCACUUCACUCUGAAAUUCUUUGAACUUUUCAAAUGUUUCAGACUUAUGUUUCAUUAAGUAGAUAUACCCAUAUCUGCUCAAAUCAUCUGUGAAGGUCGGAAAAUAAUGAUACCCGCCGCGAGCCUCAAUAUUCAUUGGACCACAUACAUCAGUAUAUAUGAUUUCCAACAAAUCCGUUGCUCGCUCCAUUGUUCCGGAGAACGGAGUUUUAGUCAUCUUGCCCAUAAGGCAUGGUUUGCAAGUACCAAGUGAUUCCAAAAGUCCAUUAGAAUGGAGUUUCUUCAUGCGCUUUACACCAAUAUGACCUAAACGGCAGUGCCACAAAUAAGUUGCACUAUCAUUAUCAACUCUGCAUCUUUUGGCUUCAAUAUUAUGAAUAUGUGUGUCACUACUAUCGAGAUUCAACAAAAAUAGACCACUCUUCAAGGGUGCAUGACCAUAGAAGAUAGUACUCAUAUAAAUAGAACAACCAAUAUUCUCAGAUUUAAAUGAAUAACCAUCUCGCAUCAAACAAAAUCCAUAUAUAAUGUUCAUGCUUAACGCUGGCACCAAAUAACAAUUAUUCAGGUCUAAAACUAAUCCCGAAGGUAGAUGUAGAGGUAGCGUGCCGACGGCGAUCACAUCGACUUCGGAACCAUUUCCCACGCGCAUCAUCACCUCGUCCUUAGCCAAUCUUCGCUUAAUCCGUAGUCCCUGUUCCGAGUUGCAAAUAUUAGCAACAGAACUAGUAUCAAAUACCUAGGUACUACUGCGAGCAUUAGUAAGGUACACAUCAAUAACAUGUAUAUCACAUAUACCUUUGUUCACUUUGCCAUCCUUCUUAUCCGCCAAAUACUUGGGGCAGUUCGCUUCCAGUGACUAGUCCCUUUGCAGUAGAAGCACUCAGUCUUAGGCUUAGGUCCAGACUGGGGCUUCUUCACUUGAGUAGCAACUUGCUUGCUAUUCUUCUUGAAGUUCCCCUUCUUCCCUUUACCCUUUUUCUUGAAACUGGUGGUCUUGUUGACCAUCAACACUUGAUGCUCCUUCUUAAUUUCUACCUCCGCAGCCUUUAGCAUCACGAAGAGCUCGGGAAUUGUCCUAUCCAUCCCUUGCAUAUUAUAGUUCAUCCCGAAGCUCUUGUAGCUUGGUGGCAGUGAUUGAAGAACUCUGUAAAUGACACUAUCAACUGGAAUAUUAACUCCUAGCCGAGUCAAGUGAUUAUGAUACCCAGACAUUUUGAGUAUAUGCUCACUGACAGAACUAUUCUCCUCCAUUUUGCAGCUGAAGAACUUAUUGGAGACUUCAUAUCUCUCAAUUCGGACAUUUGCUUGAAAUAUUAACUUCAACUCCUGGAACAUCUCAUAUGCUCCAUGACGUUCAAAACAUCGUUGAAGUCCCGGUUCUAAGCCGUAAAGCAUGACACACUGAACUAUCGAGUAGUCAUCAGCUUUGCUCUGCCAGACAUUCACAACGUCCGGCGUUGCUCCUGCAGCGGGUCUUGCACCUGAUACGUCUCCAACGUAUCUAUAAUUUUUGAUUGUUCCAUGCUAUUAUAUAUUCUGUUUUGGAUGUUUAAUGGGCUUUAUUAUACACUUUUAUAUUAUUUUUGGGACUAACCUACUAACCGGAGGCCCAACCCAAAUUGCUGUUUUUUUGCCUAUUUCAGUGUUUCGCAGAAAAGGAAUAUCAAACGGAAUCCAAACGGAAUGAACCUUCGGGAGAGUUAUUUUUGGAACAAACGUGAUCCAGAGGACUUGGAGUGGACGUCAAGAAACAUACGAGGAGGCCACGAGGCAGGGAGGCGCGCCUGCCCCCCUAGGCGCGCCCCCACCCUCAUGGGCCCCUCGUUGCUCCACCGGCCUACUUCUUCCUCCUAUAUAUACCUACAUACCCCGAAACCAUCGAGGAGCACCACGAAAACCUAUUUCCACCGCCGCAACCUUCUGUACCCGUGAGAUCCCAUCUUGGGGCCUUUUCCGGCACUCCGCAGGAGGGGGCAUCGAUCACGGAGGGCUUCUACAUCAACACCAUAGCCUCUCCGAUGAUGUGUGAGUAGUUUACCUCAGACCUUCGGGUCCAUAGUUAUUAGCUAGAUGGCUUCUUCUCUCUCUUUGGAUCUCAAUACAAAGUUCUCCUCGAUUCUCUUGGAGAUCUAUUCGAUGUAACUCUUUUUGUGGUGUGUUUGUGGAGAUCCGAUGAAUUGUGGGUUUAUGAUCAAGAUUAUCUAUGAACAAUAUUUGAAUCUCCUCUUAAUUCUUUUAUGUAUGAUUUGUUAUCUUUGCAAGUCUCUUCGAAUUAUCAGUUUGGUUUGGCCUGCUAGAUUGAUCUUUCUUGCAAUGGGAGAAGUGCUUAGCUUUGGGUUCAAUCAUGCGGUGCUCGAUCCCAGUGACAGUAGGAGAACCGACACGUAUUGUAUUGUUGCCAUCGAGGAUAAAAAUAUGGGGUUUAUAUCAGAUUGCUUGAGUUUAUCCCUCUACAUCAUGUCAUCUUGCCUAAUGCGUUACUCUGUUCUUAUGAACUUAAUACUCUAGAUGCAUGCUGGAUAGCGGUCGAUGUGUGGAGUAAUAGUAGUAGAUGCAGGCAGGAGUCAGUCUACUUGUCGCGGACGUGAUGCCUAUAUACAUGAUCAUGCCUAGAUAUUCUCAUAAUUAUGCUCAAUUCUAUCAAUUGCUCGACAGUAAUUUGUUCACCCACCGUAAUACUUAUGCUAUCUUGAGAGAAGCCACUAGUGAAACCUAUGGCCCCCCGGGUCUAUUCUCUAUCAUAAUAAUCUCUCGUUAUUUCUAUCAACGUUUAUUUUGCUUUCUUUACUUUUAGUCUUUAUUAUAAAAAUACCAAAAAUAUUAUCUUAUCAUCUCUAUCAGAUCUCGCUUUUGCAAGUGGCCAUGAAGGGAUUGACAACCCCUUUAUCGCAUUGGUUGCAAGGUUCUUAUUUGUUUGUGUAUAUACGAGGGACUCGCGCAUGGUCUCCUACUGGAUUGAUACUUUGGUUCUCAAAAACUGAGGGAAAUACUUACGCUACUUUGCUGCAUCACCCUUUCCUCUUCAAGGGAAAACCAACGCAGUGCUCAAGAGGUAGCAAGAAGGAUUUCUGGCGCCAUUGCCGGGGAGUCUACGCACAAGUCAAGACAUACCAAGUGCCCAUCACAAACUCUUAUCCCUCGCAUUACAUUAUUUGCCAUUUGCCUCUUGUUUUCCUCUCCCCCACUUCACCCUUGCCGUUUUAUUCGCCCUCUUUUUUCGUUCGCCUUUUUCUUUCGCUUGCUUCUUGUUUGCCUGUGUGUUGGAUUGCUUGCUUGUCACGAUGGCUCAAGAUAAUACUAAAUUGUGUGACUUUGCCAAUACCAACAACAAUGAUUUUCUUAGCACUCCGAUUGCUCCUCUUACCGAUGCUGAAUCUUGUGAAAUUAAUGCUGCUUUGCUGAAUCUUGUCAUGAAAGAUCAAUUCGCCGGCCUUCCUAGUGAAGAUGCCGCUACCCAUCUAAUUAGCUUUGUUCAUUUGUGCGAUAUGCAAAAGAAGAAAGAUGUAGACAAUGAUAUUGUUAAAUUGAAGCUAUUUCCGUUUUCGCUUAGAGAUCGUGCUAAAACUUGGUUUUCGUCUUGGCCUAAAAAUAGUAUUGAUUCAUGGAAAAAGUGCAAAGAUGCUUUUAUCUCUAAAUAUUUUCCUCCCGCUAAGAUCAUCUCUCUUAGAAACGAUAUUAUGAAUUUUAAGCAACUUGAUCAUGAACAUGUUGCACAAGCUUGGGAGAGGAUGAAAUUAAUGAUACGUAAUUGCCCUACACAUGGUGUGAAUUUAUGGAUGAUCAUACAAAUUUCUUAUGCCGGAUUGAAUUUUGCUUCUAGAAAUCUUUUAGACUCAGCCGCGGGAGGCAAUUUUAUGGAAAUCACUUUAGGAGAAGCUACUAAACUCCUAGAUAAUAUUAUGGUUAUUAUUCUUAAUGGCACACUAAAAUAUCUACUAGAAAAAAGGUUCAUGCGAUUGAAGAAAUUAAUGUUUUGAGUGAAAAGAUGGAUGAACUUAUGAAAUUGUUUGCUAAUAAGAGUGUUUCUUCUUAUCCUAAUGAUAUGCCUUUGUCUACUUUGAUUGAGAAUAAUAAUGAAUCUAUGGAUGUGAAUUUUGUUGGUAGGAAUAAUUUUGGUAACAACGCGUAUAGAGGAAACUUUAAUCCUAAGCCAUUCCCUAGUAAUUCCUCUAAUAAUUAUGGUAAUUCCUACAACAAUUCUUAUGGAAAUUUUAAUAAGUUGCCCUCCGAUUUUGAGACUAGUGUUAAAGAGUUUAUGAAUUCGCAAAAGAAUUUCAAUGCUUUGCUUGAAGAAAAAUUACUUAAGGUUGAUGAAUUGGCUAGGAACGUGGAUAGAAUUUCUCUUGAUGUUGAUUGUUUGAAACUUAGAUCUAUUCCACCUAAGCAUGAUAUCAAUGAGUCUCUCAAGGCUAUGAGAAUUUCCAUUGAUGAAUGCAAAGAAAGAACCGCUAGGAUGCGUGCUAAAAAAGAUUGCUUUGUGAAAGCGUGUUCUUCUAAAUUUCAUGAUAAUAAGGAUGAUGAUCUAAAAGUGAUUGAUGUGUCCCCUAUUAAAUCUUUGUUUUGCAAUAUGAAUCUUUAUAAUGAUGGGACUGGAGAUGAGUCAACUUUAGUUAGAAGGCGUCCCAAUGAUUCGGAGUUUUUAGAUCUUGAUGCAAAAAUUGGUAAAAGUGGGAUUGAAGAGGUCAAAACUUUACAUAGCAAUGAACCCACUAUUUUGGAUUUCAAGGAAUUUAAUUAUGAUAAUUUAUCUUUAAUAGAUUGUAUUUCCUUUUUGCAAUCUGUGCUAAAUUCUCCUCAUGCUUAUAGUCAAAAUAAGGCUUUUACUAAACAUAUUGUUGAUGCUUUAAUGCAAUCUUAUGAAGAAAAGCUUGAAUUGGAAGUUUCUAUCCCUAGAAAACUUUAUGAUGAGUGGGAACCUACUAUUAAAAUUAAAAUUAAAGAUCAUGAAUUCUAUGCUUUGUGUGAUUUGGGUGCUAGUGUUUCCACGAUUCCAAAAACUUUGUGUGAUUUGCUAGGUUUCCGUGAUUUUGAUAAUUGUUCUUUAAACUUGCACCUUGCGGAUUCCACCAUUAAGAAACCUAUGGGAAGAAUUAACGAUGUUCUUAUUGUUGCAAAUAGGAACUAUGUGCCCGUAUAUUUCAUUGUUCUUGAUAUAGAUUGCAAUCCUUCGUGUCCUAUUAUUCUUGGUAGACCUUUCCUUAGAACGAUUGGUGCAACUAUUGAUAUGAAGGAAGGGAAUAUUAGAUUCCAAUUUCCGUUAAGGAAAGGCAUGGAACACUUCCCUAGAAAGAAAAUUAAAUUACCUUAUGAAUCUAUUAUGAGAGCUACUUAUGGAUUGCAUGCCAAAGAUGGCAAUACCUAGAUCUAUCCUUGCCUUUAUGCCUAGCUAGGGGCGUUAAACGAUAGCGCUUGUUGGGAGGCAACCCAAUUUUAUUUUAUUUUCUUGCUUUUUAUUUCUGUUUAGUAAUAAAUCUUUGAUCUAGCCUCUGGUUAGAUGUGGUAUUAUGUUUUAAUUAGUGUUUGUGCCAAGUAAAACCUAUAAGAUCUUCUUGGAUGAUAGUUAUUUGAUCUUGCUGCAAAUUCAAGAAACUUUAUGUUCCCGAAAACAAUUGUUAAAAAUCACCAGAACGUGAUAAAAUACUGAUUCCAAUUGCAUUAGUUCAAUAAAAAAUUAUCUAGGUAGUCCUAUUUUGGUAGAUUUUUCGGAGUUCGAGAAGUUUGCGUUUGAUACAGAUUACUACAGACUGUUCUGUUUUUGACAGAUUCUGUUUUUCGUGUGUUGUUUGCUUAUUUUGAUGAAUCUAUGGCUAGUAACGGAGCUUAUGAACCAUAGAGAAGUUGAAAUACAUUAGGUUUAAGACCAAUAUAAAUAAAUAAUGAUUUCAUUACAGUACCUUAAAGUGGUGGUUUGUUUUAUUUCGCUAACGGAGCUCAUGAGAUUUUCUGUUGAGUUUUGUGUUGUGAAGUUUUCAAGUUUUGUGUAAAGAUUUGAUGGAUUAUGGAACAAGGAGUGGAAAGAGCCUAAUCUUGGGGAUGCACAAGGCACCCCAAGGUAAAAUUCAAGGACAACCAAAAGCCUAAGCUUGGGGAUGCCCCGGAAGGGAUCCCCUCUUUCGUCUUCGUCCAUCGGUAACUCUACUUGGAGCUAUAUUUUUAUUCACCACAUGAUAUGUGUUUUGCUUGGAGCGUCUUGUAUGAUUUGAGUCUUUGCUUUUUAGUUUUCCACAAUCAUCCUUGCUGUACAAACCUUUUGAGAGAGACACACACAUGAUUCGGAAUUUAUUAGAAUACUCUAUGUGCUUCACUUAUAUCUUUUGAGCUAGAUAAUUUUUGCUCUAGUGCUUCACUUAUAUCUUUUAGAGCAUGGUGGUGGUUUAUUUUAUAGAAAUUAUUGAUCUCUCUUUCUUCACUUAUAUUAUUUUUAGAGUGCUAUAAAACAGCAUGGUAAUUUGCUUUGGUUGAAAUUUUAGUCCUAAAAGUGAUGAGCAUCCAAGAUAGGUAUAAUAAAAACGAUCAUAAAAAGUGCAUUGAAUACUAUGAGAAGUUUGAUACUUGAUAAUUGUUUUGAGAUAUGAAGAUGGUGAUAUUAGAGUCAUGCUAGUUGAGUAGUUGUGAAUUUGAUAAAUACUUGUGUUAAAGUUUGUGAUUCCCGUAGCAUGCACGUAUGGUGAACCGUUAUGUGAUGAAGUCGGAGCAUGAUUUAUUUAUUAAUUAUCUUCCUUAUGAGUGGCGGUCGGGGACGAGCGAUGGUCUUUUCCUACCAAUCUAUCCCCCUAGGAGCAUGCGCGUAGUACUUUGUUUCGAUAACUAAUAGAUUUUUGCAAUAAGUAUAUGAGUUCUUUAUGACUAAUGUUGAGUCCAUGGAUUAUACGCACUCUCACCCUUCCACCAUUGCUAGCCUCUCUAAUACCGCGCACCUUUCGCCGGUAUCAUACACCCACCAUAUAUCUUCCUCAAAACAGCCACCAUACCUACCUAUCAUGGCAUUUCCAUAGCCAUUCCGAGAUAUAUUGCCAUGCAACUUACCACCGUUCCGUUUAUUAUGACACGCUCCAUCAUUGUCAUAUUGCUUUGCAUGAUCAUGUAGUUGACAUCGUAUUUGUGGCAAAGCCACUGUUCAUUAUUUUCAUACAUGUCACUUUUGAUUCAUUGCAUAUCCCGGUACACCGCCGAAGGCAUUCACAUAGAGUCAUAUUUUGUUCUAAGUAUUGAGUUGUAAUUCUUGAGUUGUAAGUAAAUAAAAGUGUGAUGAUCAUCAUUAUUAGAGCAUUGUCCCAAGUUAGGAAAGGAUGAUGGAGACUAUGAUUCCCCCACAAGUCGGGAUGAGACUCCGGACGAAAAAAAAGAGGCCAUAAAAAAAAGAGAAAAGGCCCAAACAAAAAAAAUGACAGAAAAAGAGAGAAGGGACAAUGUUACUAUCCUUUUUCCACACUUGUGCUUCAAAGUAGCACCAUGAUCUUCAUGAUAGAGAGUCUCCUAUGUUGUCACUUUCAUAUACUAGUGGGAACUUUACAUUAUAGAACUUGGCUUGUAUAUUCCAAUGAUGGGCUUCCUCAAAUUGCCCUAGGUCUUCAUGAGCAAGCAAGUUGGAUGCACACCCACUUAGUUUAUUUUGUUGAGCUUUCAUACACUUAUAGCUCUAGUGCAUCCGUUGCAUGGCAAUCCCUACUCACUCACAUUGAUAUCUAUUAAUGGGCAUCUCCAUAGCCCGUUGAUACGCCUAGUUGAUGUGAGACUAUCUUCUCCUUUUUGUCUUCUCCACAACCACCAUUCUAUUCCACCUAUAGUGCUAUGUCCAUGGCUCACGCUCAUGUAUUGCGUGAAGAUUGAAAAAGUUUGAGAACACCAAAAGUAUGAAACAAUUGUUUGGCUUCUCAUCGGGGUUGUGCAUGAUUUAAAUAUUUUGUGUGGUGAAGAUAGAGCGUAGCCAGACUAUAUGAUAUUGUAGGGAUAACUUUCUUUGGCCAUGUUAUUUUGAGAAGACAUGAUUGCUUUGAUUAGUAUGCUUGAAGUAUUAUUAUUUUUAUGUCAAUAUUAAACUUUUAUCUUGAAUCCUUCGGAUCUGAAUAUUAAUGCCAAAAUAAAGAGAAUUACAUUGAGAAAUAUGCUAGGAAGCAUUCCACAUCAAAAAAUCUGUUUUUAUCAUUUACCUACUCGAGGACGAGCAGGAAUUAAGCUUGGGGAUGCUUGAUACGUCUCCAACGUAUCUAUAAUUUUUUAUUGUUCCAUGCUAUUAUAUAUUUUGUUUUGGAUGUUUAAUGGGCUUUAUUAUACACUUUUAUAUUAUUUUUGGGACUAACCUACUAACCGGAGGCGCAGCCCAAAUUGCUGUUUUUUUGCCUAUUUCAGUGUUUCGCAUAAAAGGAAUAUCAAACGGAAUCCAAACGGAAUGAAACCUUCGAGAGAGUUAUUUUUGAAACAAACGUGAUCCAGAGGACUUGGAGUGGACGUCAAUAAACAUACGAGGAGGCCACGAGGCAGGGAGGCGCGCCUGCCCCCCUGGGCGCGCCCCCCACCCUCGUGGGCCCCUCGUAGCUCCACCGACCUACUUCUUCCUCCUAUAUAUACCUACGUACCCCGAACCCAUCGAUAAGCACCACGAAAACCUAUUUCCACCGCCGCAACCUUCUGUACCCGUGAGAUCCCAUCUUGGGGCCUUUUCCGGCGCUCCGCCGGAGGGGGCAUCGAUCACGGAGGGCUUCUACAUCAACACCAUAGCCUGUCCGGUGAUAUGUGAGUAGUUUAGACCUUCGGGUCCAUAGUUAUUAGCUAGAUGGCUUCUUCUGUCUCUUUGGAUCUCAAUACAAAGUUCUCCUCGAUUCUCUUGGAGAUCUAUUCGAUGUAACUCUUUUUGCGGUGUGUUUGUCAAGAUCCGAUGAAUUGUGGGUUUAUGAUCAAGAUUAUCUAUGAACAAUAUUUGAAUCUCCUCUGAAUUCUUUUAUGUAUGAUUUGUUAUCUUUGCAAGUCUCUUCGAAUUAUCAGUUUGGUUUGGCCUGCUAGAUUGAUCUUUCUUGCAAUGGGAGAAGUGCUUAGCUUUGGGUUCAAUCAUGCGGUGCUCGAUCCCAGUGACAGUAGGGGAACCGACACGUAUUGUAUUGUUGCCAUCGAGGAUAAAAAGAUGGGGCUUAUAUCACACUGCUUGAGUUUAUCCCUCUACAUCAUGUCAUCUUACCUAAUGCGUUACUCUGUUCUUAUGAACUUAAUACUCUAGAUGCAUGCUGGAUAGCGGUCGAUGUGUGGAGUAAUAGUAGUAGAUGCAGGCAGGAGUCGGUCUACUUGUCGCGGACGUGAUGCCUAUAUACAUGAUCAUGCCUAGAUAUUCUCAUAACUAUGCUCAAUUCUAUAAAUUGCGCCAAGGGGGAGGAAUCCUCCUCCUGGUAGGAGUAGGACUCCCCCCUUUCCUAGUCCUACUAGGAGAAGAAGGAAGGAGGGGGCGCCGCCCCUCCCCCUAGUCCAAUUCGGACUAGGCCCAUGGGGGGCGCGCGACCAGCCCUUGGCAGCCCCUCUCUCUCUCCCCUAGGCCCAACAAGUCCCAUUACUUCUCUGGUGGUUCCGAUAACCCUUCCGGCACUCCGAUAUUUAUCCGGUGACCCUCAGAACUCAUCGAAUGUCCGAAUAACAUUGUACAAUAUAUCAUUCUUUAUGUCUUGACCAUUUCGAGACUCCUCGUCAUGUCCGUGAUCACAUCCGGGACUUCGAACUACCUUCGGUACAUCAAAACACAUAAACUCAUAAUACCGAUCGUCAUCGAACGUUAAGCGUGCGGACCCUACGGGUUCGAGAAAUAUGUAGACAUGACUGAGACUCAUCUCCGGUCAAUAACAAAUAGCGGGACCUGGAUGCUCAUAUUGGCUCCCACAUAUUCUACGAAGAUCUUUAUCGGUCAAACCGCAUAACAACAUACGUUGUUCCCUUUGUCAUCGGUAUGUUACUUGCUCGAGAUUCGAUCGUCGGUAUCUCAAUACCUAGUUCAAUCUCGUUACCGGCAAGUCUCUUUACUCGUUCCGUAAUGCAUCAUCCCGUUACUAACUCAUUAGUCACAUUGCUUACAAGGUUUAUAGUGAUGUGCAUUACUGAGAUGGCCUAGAGCUACCUCUCCGACAAACGGAGUGACAAAUCCUAAUCUCGAUCUAUGCCAACUCAACAAGCACCAUCGGAGACACCUGUAGAGCAUAUUUAUAGUCACCCAUUUACGUUGUGACGUUUAAUAGCACACUAAGUGUUCUUCCGGUAUUCGGGAGUUGCAUAAUCUCAUAGUCAUAGGAACAUGUAUAAGUCAUGAAGAAAGCAAUAGCAACAAACUAAACGAUCAUCGUGCUAAGCUAACAGAUGGGUGUUGUCAAUCACAUCAUUCUCUAAUGAUGUGAUCCCGUUCAUCAAAUGACAACUCAUGUCUAUGGCUAGGAAACUUAACCAUCUUUGAUUAACGAGCUAGUCAAGUAGAGGCAUACUAGUGACACUCUGUUUGUCUAUGUAUUCACACAUACUAAGUUUUCGGUUAAUACAAUUCUAGCAUGAAUAAUAAACAUUUAUCAUGAUAUAAAGAAAUAUAAAUAACAACUUUAUUAUUGCCUCUAGGGCAUAUUUCCUUCAUGUUACGCAUAGGGAUGUGUGGUGGACUCUCGGCCAUUUCGACGGCAACCACAACCAUCCCCUCAUCAAAAAGCCGUCCCUAGUAAAAUUUCUGACAUCACAUCGAAACAUCCCCGAGGAGGAAAAUGACUUCUUAAGAAUUAUACACGGGUACAACAUCGAGACUGCAAGGUAGAUGUAGGUGAUUGCAUGGUUCUACGCGUGUACUCAAGAUGUACCCUACACGACACAAGAUAUUUCCAAUGAGCGAGCUAAAUUUCACAUGUAGAACCGCCACAUAGAUGUGGGAAGCAAUAUUGCAUACUUCUAGGAGAUGAGGACCAAGGAUUCCUAUUUCUAAUGGAGAAUCAAUAUUGAUGACGAGGGUAAGGUGGAGAACUUGUUUUGGACAGAUGACGCGUCACGCAUGGCCUAUGCAAAGUACAGUGUCUAUGUGUCAUUUGACACUACAUACGUGGCAAACAUGCAAUAAGAUGUCAUGUGGGCCAUUAAUCGGCAUUAAAUAACCAUGGACAAUACAUCUAGUUUGGUUGUGGCUUCAUUUGCAAUGAACCGAUAGAGAACUUUGUGUUGUUGUUUAACAUGUUUCUGCAUGUAAUGGGUAGUGUUGACCAAAAAUAGCAUCACUUAUCAAUACUUUAUAAUGAAGGCUGCCAUGGACGAGGUGUUCAUGAACAUAAAACACAGAAAUUGCCGUUAACAUAUUACUCCUGUAAAGGAUGCUGGAGUACCAGCCUUCUAGGGGCCUCGCCGCGCAAGAGUGCCCUCCACGCCGUCUGCGGCUGACACGCUCUGCGCCAUCCGAUCUACUCGUGCACCUCGCAUCCGCCUAGUUUUCUCGGGGGUUCAUGACGCCUGGGCCGCGGGUGCGACUAGGGCCACCUUCCUGUGUUGUUUUCGAUCGCGCCCACGUGCAUCGUCUCGCGCGUUGCCCCGCACGCGACGUGUGUACCCGGGCUAGGCUGUCAGCGUCAUGCACCCCCCCCCCCCCAGCCCCACCCCAUAUUACAUAUUAAGAAAAGCAAAUCCUUUUGGUGACCGGCCAAUCGAAAAACUAUCGACCCCAUGGCUCCUUUGUGCCAAAGCCAGGUGUCCAAAUCCGACCGCUCAGACCUUUCACUUCUCCUUGGCCAAAAUUCCGUGUCCGGCUUAUAAACCCGACCGAAGAAAGUAAUAUGCAUAUUUUUUUUCCAAACAUUCUGCGCACUUAAUAUGACGCCCUCGCAAAUGCCUGCUGGUGCUCAAGAGAAUUGAAUGAGAUGCUUAAGCAGAAACCACUUAACUGCUCAAACUGCUACCGUUCAGAUAAAAAGGAAGGAAGUGAACACCGCACAGUUCGACAGAUAUCAGAAAACCCUCCGCAAAAUAGAUGAAAAUGAGGGGCGACGCCGAGGACCAAGGAACGCUGGUCCUUUCUCAAAAGAGAAAAAAAAUGAAGAAGCAAGGAGCGCUGGUCCUGCUCCACACAGACACAGGUCAUGGAUGGCCUCAUGGGUUACCACCAGCUGCCGCGAGACGAUUCCAGCAGAAAUGUCCAAAGAUCCCUCGUAUUCUGCCGGGUGAAAUAAACAAAGCCUUUCCGCUCUGCUUUCCCGUUGCGACAAACCGAGGAAGCAGAUGGAUGCGUCUGCCGAAAACGGCGCGUCCAAUGCGCUUCAGAAGAGGCGCUCGGUUUUACAUCACUAAUCUAAUCUACACCGUCAAGUUGCAUCUCCCUGGUUAGUGCAUUUGCCUCUCCAGACUAAUCAUCAGUCAGUCUUAGUGCCGUUCCCCCAAGAAAACCUGCUACGCUCUGCGCCACUAGCAUUGCACGUUGGGGUUCUGAAAUGCUCCAGAGAUGUUUGUUUGUUUUCUGCGCGCUCCAAGGUACGGUUUGAUGGUAAACUAAUGCGAGUAGUGGGUUAGUGUAACUGCCGUGUGCCCCAGGGUUAGUUUCAAGGAGUACAUUAUUUUAGACAAUGAAAGUUAGGUUUACUGCGAAGGCAUACGACCAUGGCCACGGCUGACAAAGAUGACACAGGAAAAAAGAUACUUCUAUAGCUUAGGUAUUAGGGUUCAACACAAAAGUUCAUGCAGAGCUACUCCCUCCGUUCGGAAUUACUCGUUCAAAAAUGAAUGUAUCUAGAUAUAUUUUAGUUGUAGAUACAUUCAUUUUUGUGACAAGUAAUUUCGAAUGGAGGGAGUACAUUUGAUUUCUUCUCUUCGGAUUAAGUCUCAACGGCGCACAACCGCACUGCAUCACUGCAUGUUGGUCACUGAUGAUCUUGGCCUGCUACCUAGCUUAGGGUAGGUAAAGCGGCCGCGUUUCUAUGCAGCAUGUCCGUGAAUCUUGUUUUUCUCUGGCGCCGGGACGUGCGCCUUGGGUACCGGCCGGACGGGACAGAGGGGAAGGGAGGCGGCCUGGCUAGUCUACCAUGCCCAUGGGCGCCAUGGGUGCUGGCCGCAAGCUGGACGCAACGAGGCAGCGGCAUGUGAGGAUGCUUUGGAUGGUAGCUGGCCACUGAAUCUGCGCGCAAGCAAGCGGACUAGCGCCAGAGAUGAGCUGAGCCUGAGCGCCACACUGUAGACAUGGUGCAUGCAGCCACACGAGGCCAUCCUUUUUUGGCCUUUUGUUCUCCGAUGAAGCCCCUUUUAGUCGCUCCGGCACGCACACGGCACAGCGAAUAAUUAUAGCGGUUCGUGCUCAAGUGUGUUUUGUUGCUCGAUAAAGCUCCCCUUACUCUAUCACUCGCAAAGCAAGUACUCCUAGCUCGGCGUAUAAUCACUACUUAGCAAGCAGUGAUUAUGGUUGUUUGUGCUCUACUAGCACUAACAAGUGAAAUGGAUCCCCCGCUGCAAAAUUGAAGAAAGAAAUCAACGAAAAACGUAAUAAAUAAAUCCACAAGUGCUCAUCGAUCAGCUCUGCACCGGAGGCUAUUCGGACUAAAAAAGUGUUUCAGUUCAUCGAUAAUCGGAAAAGGAAAAAGAUACUCCUGCGUCCCAUCCAUCCGCGCCGAGAUUGUAAACGGCUGGAGUCCACGACCGUCUCGGUUCCCCUCAUGUUCCCGUUCACAUCGCACGGCUCCUUUUUCCCGUCAUCUCCGCCGCGCACCAACGGAACCAACCCUUCCCCGGUCCUAUAUAUCCUCGCGAAUGCCCCCGCACUUCCCUCCUCGCUCCCGCGCCCCCACGCAAGCGCACACUCGCACUCUCUAGGCGCGCAGCCGGUACAAAUCGUGCGUACCGGCGUCAGUCACGCACGGUGCCUUUCGCCCACACGCGCGCGCGUCCACGCCGAGCUGAGCUGAGCUGAGCAGGGGCCUGUUCGACCGGCAAUGGCGGGAGCCCUCUCGUGCGCCGGCCUGCUGGCGGUGGUCGCGCUCGCGUGCGUCCUCGACGCCGCGACCGCGCAGCUGCGGCAGAACUACUACGCCAGCAGCUGCCCCAGCGCCGAGUCCACCGUGCGCUCCGUCAUCUCGCAGCACGUGCAGCAGAGCUUCGCCGUCGCGCCCGGCACCCUCCGCCUCUUCUUCCACGACUGCUUCGUCCGCGUAAGCCGCUCGUCUCUUCCCUUCUUGCUCCGCCGUGCUGGCAUUGCUGCUCGCCGUGCCCUGACCGUGACUCUGUUGCUGUGCGCAGGGGUGCGACGCGUCGGUGAUGCUGAUGGCGGCGAACGGGGACGACGAGAGCCACAGCGGCGCGGACGCCACGCUGUCGCCCGACGCCGUGGAGGCCAUCAACAAGGCCAAGGCCGCCGUCGAGGCGCUCCCCGGGUGCGCCGGCAAGGUCUCCUGCGCCGACAUCCUCGCCAUGGCCGCGCGCGACGUCGUCUCCCUGGUACGUAUCCCUUUACCACUUCAGCCAUCGUACCGCCGUGUAAACAAGGGCCGUGCCGCGCUAUCCCGUGACACCGGGGUAGCCGGGCGUAGGGAGCUAGAGCGGGACGCAUGCGCCCCUGUCAGUCGAGCCAGGCUCGCACGGACCCCAGGACUCCGAAAUGCGCAAGUCCUGGUUGGCUCAGGCAGUCAGGCUCGUCUCCUCUCACUCUCUCCUCCGUGACCCCAGCCGGGCGGGCCACGGUCCGGCCUUGCCGUGUGCGCGCAACCCUUUUGCUGAGCGCGCCCAGCCCCACCAGGCCGGGCGGGGCCGCGGUGACACUGUUCGACCAGCUCGCCCGUCAGUUACUUUUUAGAUAGGCACCGCGCCAUGCUGCUAUGCUGCAUCUAUAGGCUAGGGUAGCCAUGGUCCAGCCCCGCUGCCGGCCGGUGAUCCGCGCCCAUGGCCGGGCCUUGCAUUGCAGAGUCAGAGAGAUGCGGCAGGGUGGCUCGAUCGCUUCCGGUCUCUCGGUCCCUCCCGAAGCGCGAAAAGGCGGUGCCUACGGAGGACACGUGAUGCGUGUCGGGCGCGGCCGGAUGCCCGGCCGGGUCGCGUCGCGACGCACGCAUGCGCCGCGCGGUUCCGGGGCGAGUACCGGGGCACGCACAGCCAGCGUACUUCUUUAGCCUCCGGCCUCUGCUCUGGGCCUCCGGCGCUUUCAGCGACAGGGACGUGACCUGAAAUGAGAUUCGAGGAGAUCGAUGGGAAGCUAGUCGGGUUCUGCGCAACCCCGGGUCACUGUAGGCUCGGUGUCGUCUGUAUGUUGCCCGUGAGGCCGUGACGGGUGCCUGUGUCUGUGAGGACGCUGCCUGCGACUGCAAGGCGUGCCCCCGCCCAGCAGGCAGCCAAAGUUUCCAUUCCGUAGAGUCGUAGGCCACUGACAUGCAUGACUAGGUAUGGACAAUUUAGCCUACAUACGAUACGAUACGAGUGCUCCUCGGAGCACCAGGAGAAAAUAUCCCAGCAGGCCCCUUCCCUGCUGAAACUCUGUCAUGGACCGAUGGACGGCUCCCGCUAAAUCGUAAGGAUUACCAUGGGAAUGCAAUACAAAUCGCUGCUGACAAGUUCAUUUUGCUGCUGUUGUUAUUGUAGACUGGCGGGCCGAGCUACGGCGUGGAGCUGGGCCGGCUGGACGGCAGGUCGUUCAGCAAGUCCAUCGUGAAGCACGUCCUCCCGGGCCCCGGCUUCGACCUCAACCAGCUCAACGCGCUCUUCGCCAGCAACGGCCUCACCCAGUUCGACAUGAUCGCGCUCUCCGGUACACCACUGCUUUCCCUCCCUUCCUUCCGUCGUCACCACACCUCCUCGCAUUCGCAUGCACAGUGAUUAAAGAUUCCUCGUUAGCGUUUGCACCGUAUUAUUGUAUUCAACAUUCAGUAAGCAGUAGGUUGAUCGCAGCGCAAGCAUCUUUCUUUGGCCCUGUGCGCACUUCACGUGACACAUCCUGCUGCUUGGAGCAGAGGACAAAGCGGCUCACUGUUCCACACUGCACUGCAUUUCCCUCUUAUUUUUCGAUGAAAAGAGCCUCCCACAUUUGUUUUGUUUGCUUCGAAAGUAGAAAAACACUGACACGGUGAUAAAACAGAGGUAAUUUCUUUCCCUCGAGGGGAAAUGGAGGCCUCUUUUGCACAGUAACAGGCCCGGAAUCUACUUUCGUUGGAAACACAUAGAAAGUCAUGUGCUGUUUCCUGACAUAGUACUACUAGCAAGUAGACAAAGGAGCCCGUUUGUGUGUUUGCUAACGCUUGUUUUUUGUUUGAUUCCACAUUGGGAGGAUGAUAAACUAUCUCAGUCACAGUGCACGGGCACACAAGACACUUUGUCUGAAUGUUCUUGGUUUCGUGUGAGAUCCUAUGCUUUGCUUUUACAUAACCGGAACGCUUGGAUUCGGGGCCAAAGAAGGCCCACCCUAUGAUGACACGAAAUAGAAACAAAGUACUGAUAGCAGCAACUUUUGACUAAACUGGCCAAUUUGGCCCAUGCAAAGUUCAAAGGACUGUGCAGGCAGGACCACGGGAGCGCAACUGUUUUGCAUAAAAUCUUUCGUCCUUUGAACUGACAAAGUCCACUAGCACUUGCAUCCGAUCCUGAAUUUGCACUUGCGUGUGCUAGCCUACUUGUUUAGCUAUAUUUUCGUUAAUUUGGCAAAAUAAUAUCUUUCUCAUUGCUAAAAGUAAUUCAUCCGUUUCAGUCGACUGAGACUUAGCAAAACCGUAAAACUGAAGAACUGUUUUCUCAAGGAAAAAAAGCAAAAAAUUCAUCCGUUUGUCAUUUUUUUAAUCAAAGUUUGAAUCUGUUUCGUGCCUUGAUUGUGUUACAUAUAUGCCACAGGUGCGCACACGAUCGGGGUGACGCACUGCGACAAGUUCGUGCGGCGGAUCUACACGUUCAAGCAGCGGCUGCGGUACAACCCGCCGAUGAACCUCGACUUUUUGCGGUCGCUGCGCAAGGUGUGCCCCAUGAACUACCCGCCCACGGCGUUCGCCAUGCUGGACGUGACCACGCCCAAGACCUUCGACAACGCCUACUUCGACAACCUCCGGUACCAGAAGGGCCUGCUCGCCUCCGACCAGGUGCUCUUCACCGACCGCCGCUCCCGCCCCACCGUCAACCUCUUCGCCGCCAACUCCUCCGCCUUCUUCGACGCCUUCGUCGCCGCCAUGGCCAAGCUCGGCCGGAUCGGGGUCAAGACCGGCUCCGGCGGCGAGGUGCGCCGGGUCUGCACCGCCGUCAACUAGCUACCGUUCGGUGCGGUCGUGUGUGUGUUAGCCUUGGGCCCGUAGCUAGGUUGGUGAAUCAUUACAUGUGAUGCAGCGCAGAUGCAGGGUGUUUUUGCUUGUGUGUGUGCGUUAGUGUGCUCAUACGCUACGUUUUGUGGUGGGAUUGUGUUAGCCAUUCUUUGAUGGGGAUGUGGUAUGGAAUGGAUUAUUAGUCACAUGGUAAUUACGCUGAAACAAAUGCAAGCACUCUGCUGGAUGUGAAAGUGGUGUUCGUUUGGGUCGCAACAUGCCUGUCUUUGGGGUUCCAGGUUCAGUGAUCGCUUGGAACAUAGAUAGCUCAUGUCAAUCAGUUUAUCUCCACAGCAGCAGAAAUUCGUAGCAAUCACAGACCUCCCAUUGUAUCCCCCUUACGGACUGAUCGAACAACCAGGUGACCAGUAGAGCUCCAAGCUGCAAGGCAGAUACAAGGUGCCCAUGGCUGUGUGCAUCGCCCGAUGCAAAGGCAGGGGUUAUCCUCCUUUUCGAAGAAAAAAAAAAGAUGCAAGGUGCCCAAAAAGUCUGUUCGCAAGGCAUCGAAGAAGAACAAAGCACGCAGGUUAGAAUCGACGAAACCCCCGUCGACUGUCACAUGCUCAAUUUUCCCUUGUUGCUGCUAAGAUAAUCCCGUGAAUCUUCAACUUCAGUUCCAAUAAUCAACCACUCAGUUUGCCUCUUGGCAUUAUUCGUUCAUGUACAAGACUGAAUAUAUAGUUGUUUUCAAAUUGGCAAAGUAUGUUUAUUCAUAUGCAAGUAUGCAACUAGAUGCUGUGACAAACAACAUGUAGAUACACAUCUCAAGGGUUCUUCACACGAUGUCCAUGAAUACAGUAGAUAGCGGAGUUUCAU